UUUUUUUUUUUUGUUUCUUUUUCAGUUUUUUUCUUUUAUUUGUUCUUUUUUUUUACUUUUCUUUUUUUUUCCUACUUUGUUUUUUAAUUUUUUUAUUUUAUUUUUUGGUAUUUUAUUUAUUUCAAGUAAUUGUUAUUGUGAUAAAAAAAUAAUUAUCAACAUAAAGAAAUGUAAUGCUUUUAAAAGUAUUACCUUUAUUCAUAUCAAUUGUUAUUUUUUUUCGUACGACAAUAAUUAUUUGACCAAAUAACUAAAAUUACAAGUUUCAUGAGUAAAAAUAACAAUUAUCGUGAAAAAAAUAAUAAUUUUAAAAUAUUCUAUUUCUUUAUAUGAAUAAUUACUUUUAUUAAGACAAUAGUUACUUUUAAUAGCAUAAUAAGAUAUACAUUUUUAGACAAAUUAUACUUAUGUUUAUAUAAGUAUUUACCUUCAUUCAAUAUAAUGUAUUACUAUAUUUUUUACACCAUAGACCCUGAAAAUUAGACCUUAAACCCAAACCCUGAAUAGUUACUUUUUAUUAUGACAAUAAUUAUUGAUCAAAUAGUUUAAAUAAAAGUACUAACGAGUAAAAUAACAUUAUUUUAUUCAUAUCAAUAAUUACUUUUACUUACAAAAAUAAUUACUUGAGCAAAUAACUAAAAAUAAAAGUUCUUAUUAAUAAAAAUAAACAUUAUUGUGAAGAAAUGUAAUGUUUCAAAAACAUUACCUUCCUUUGUAAUAAUAAUUUAUUUUUUAUUACAACAAUAAAUACUUUGUAUUACAACAAUAACUACAAGUCUACAACAAAUGUAAUAAUUUUGAAACAUUACAUUUGUCCAUAUCAAUAAUUAUCUUUUCUUAUGAUAAUAUUUACUUGAUAAAAUAAAUAAAGUACAAUUUUUCAUUAAUAAAAGUAACAAUUAUUAUGAACAAAUAUAAUAAUUUACAAACAUUACAUUUCAUCAUAGCAAUAGUUACUUUUUCUCAAGACAAUGAUUACUUGAAUUAUUAUUUGAUUAUUUUUUUCUAUAUUCUAUUUAUUUAUUACGUUAUUCAAAGUAAUUGUUAUUAUAAUGAAAAAAGUAAUUAUUGACAUGAAAAAAUGUAAUGUUUUUAAACAUUACUUUUCAUCACAUCAAUAGUUAAUAUAAGUAUUUACGUUUAUUCAAUAUAAAGUAUUAUAUUUUCUAAAUUCUAAACCCUGAAAACUAUACCCUAAACGUUGAACACUAAACCUUAAACCAUGAACACUAAAUCCUGAACCCUAAUACGAAUAUUUACUUUUAAUAAGUAUAAGAUAUACAUUUGUUCGCAUAAAAGUAUACUUAUGUUAAUAUAAGUAUUUACCUUUAUUCAAUAUAAAAUAUUCUAUUUUCUAAACCCUAAACACUAAAUUCAGAAUACUAAAUCUUGAACCCUUAUAUUAAUAUAAGUAUUUACUUUUAGUUAUAUCAAUAAUUUUCUUUACACCAAUAAUUAUUUGACCAAAUAAUUAAAAAUAUAAAUUCUAAUGAAUAAAAGUAACAAUUAUCGUGAAGAAAUGUAAUAAUCUAGAAACGUUACAUUUUAGUGUAAUAAUUACUUUUGUUUACAACAAUAAUUACUUGACCAAAUAAUUAAGAAUAAAAUUUAUAGCGAGUGAAAAUAUGAUUACUUUUUUCUACAUCAAUAAUUACUUAUAUUCUUAAAAAUAAUUACUUAAGCAAAUAGCUAAAAGUAAAUAUUCUUAUGAAUAAAAAUAAACAUUAUUGUGAAGAAAUAUAAUAUUUCAAAAAUAUUACCUUUUAUCAUAUCAAUGGUUACUUUAUCUUACGAUAAAUGUUUACUUGAUGAAAAGAAUGAUUGAUGAAAAUUAUUGCUUUUUCAUCUGCCUAUUUAUGGAGCCCAGAAAUCCCUCCUUUUCAAAUAUCAAAUAUUGGGAGUUGUGAAAAGUGAAAAGUGAAAAGUAAGAGUAAUUGUAAGUGGUGGGGUAUGGUCCAAAAAAUAGGUAGAAAGUUUUUUUGUGAAUACUAAACCCUAAAUAGGGAAUAUUAAACCCUAAACACUGAAUACUAAACCCUAAAUAGGGAAUACUAAACCAUAAACACUUAAUACUAAACCCUAAUCAUUCAAUAAUCAACCCAAAUGACAAUAUUUACUUUUAUUUGAUCUAAGAUAUACAUUUCCAUGCAUAAAUGUAUACUUAUGUGAAUAUAAGUAUUAACCAUCAUUCAAUAUUUUUUAAACCUAAACACUGAAUACUAAACCCUAAACACUGAAUAUUAAACCCUAGCCAUUCAAUAAUAAACCCAAAUGGAAAUAUUUACUCGCUAAUGGAAAUACUCACUUUUAUUUAUCCUUGAAUGCUAAACCCUAAUGGAAAUAUUUACUGUUAUGUAGUCUAACAUAUACAUUUCUUUGUACAAAUGUAUACUUAUGUUUCUAUAAGUAUUUCCUUUCAUUCUAUAUUUUGUAAUUACCUGAACACUGAAUACUAAACCCUAAAUAGUGAAUACUAAACCCUAAACCUUGAAUACUAAACUGUAAAUAAUGAAUACUAAACUAUAACCCUUGAAUGCUAAACCCUAACGAAAAUAAUUACUUUUAUUUAGGCUAGUAUAUACAUUUCUUUGUACAAAUGUAUACUUAUGGUUCUAUAAGUAUUUCCUUUCAUUCUAUAUUUUGUAAUUACCUAAACACUGAAUACUAAACCCUAAAUAGUGAAUACUAAACCCUAAACCUUGAAUACUAAACCCUAAAUAAAUACAAAUUAUACAUUUAUUGGCACAAAUAUAUACUUACGUUAAUAUAAAUAUUUAUCUUCAUUUAAUAUAAAGCAUUAUAUUUUCAAAACUUUAAACCCUGAACACUAAACCAUAAACCCUGAACAUUAAACCUUAAACACUAAAUCCUAAACUCUAAUAAGCAUAUUUACUUUUUUAAUACGAAUAAGAUAUACAGUUGUGCUAACAAAUGUAUACUUAUGUUAAUAUAAAUAUCUACUUUUAUUCAAUAUAAAGUAUUAUAUUUGCUAAACUCGAAACCUGAACAUUAAAUCAUAACAUGAAUAUUUAUUUUUAAUGACCAUAAAAUAUACAUUUGUUCUCACAAAUAUAUACUUAUGUUAAUAUAAGUAUUUACCUUUAUUCAAUUUAAAGUAUUAUACAUAUCAAUAAUUACAUUUUCUUAUGACAAUGCUUAAUUACUUGACAAAACAAUUAAAAGUACAAGUUCUCGCGAAUAAAAAUAAUAUUAUUUUUCAAGAAAAUAAUUAUUUCACCAAAUAAAUAAAAUUAUUUAUUUCUUCAAACCAAAGUAAAUAUUGUUGUGAUAAAAAGUAAGUAAUCAACAUGAAGAAAAGUAAUGUUUUCGAAACAUUACAUUUUUUAUCUAAUAAUUUAGAAAAAUUACAUUUUUUCAUAUCAAUAGUUACUUUUCUUUACAACAAUGAUUACUUGAAUAAUUUAUUGAAUAUUUUUUCGCCAUUCGAUUAUUUAUUUCUACGUUAUUCAAAAUAACUAUUGUUAUUAUAAUGAAAAAAAAUAAAAUUAUUGACAUGAAUAAAUGUAACAGUCUUGAAAUGUUAUUUUUUAUCAUAAAUAUUUACUUUUUCUUACAACAAUAAUUACUUGACCGAAUAUACAAAAUUACAAAUUAUAACGAGUAAAAAUAACAUUACUUUUAUAUAUAUUAAUAAUUGCAUUUUCUUACAAUAAUAAUUAUUUUAUCAAAUAACUAAAAAUAUAAAUUCACAAAAAUAAAAGUAACAAUAAUAGUUAACAAAUGUAAUAAUUUAGAAACAUUACAUUUCAUUGUAAUAAUUAUUACUUUUUAUUACGACAAUAAUUACUUGACCGAAUAGCUAAGUUUAAAAAUUCUAGUCAAUGAAAAUAAAAUUACUUUUCUUCACAUCAAUAAUUACAUUUGUUUAUAAAAAUAAUUACUUGAUAAAAUAACUAAAAGUUAAUGUUCUUAUAAAUAAAAAUAAACAUUAUCCUAAACAAAUGUAAUAAUUCAAAAAUAUUAUAUUUGUUCGUAGCAAUAAUUACUUUUUAUUAGAAUAAUAAUUAUUUGAUUAAAUGAAUUGAAGAAUAAAUAAUAAAAUUGAAUAUAUGGUUAUAAAGAAAGAAGAAAAAAAGUGUUCAGUUUAGGAAUGAAUGAAAGAUCCAAAUUUUGCCCAAAAACAAACAAGGUGAGUUGAAGGAAGAUUGAUAGAUCGAUUAACUCAAUAAAGUCUCGAUUCACAAAUUAUUUACAAAGAAAUGGAUACAUUCAACAAGAAAAAAUGAUUCUCAAUAGUAGAAAACAGGCUUAAUUUUUUUUAUCAAAUCAAUUCAGAUACUGCGGGCACGAAAUUCCCAUCAAUUCACAAACAUUAAAAUUCACAAAAAUUAUUGAGCAAUAAUUAAACAAUUUAUUAAUUUAAGCAGUAGGUCCCAACAAUAAUUAAACAAUUCAUCAAUAAUCUAUAUAAUCUAUAUAAUAUAUAAAAGAGGAGUUUUUUCCCUCCAUAUUUUCCUUCUCUUUUUCUCUCUCUUCUUCCACCAAAAUUUUACUAUUUUUCUUUUUAGUUUUUAUAAUUUAAUUAUUUUUCUAAACAUCAUCAAAUUUGAUUCAUGAAAAAAAAAUCAAUAAGUAUCUUAAAUUUAAUAUAGUAUAAAAAUUAUCAAAAAUGAAUUUAAAAUGAAUAAGUUAUGAAAAAUUUAAAAUAAUUUAUUUUCUAUCUCCUCAUUAAAAAUUUACAACUUUUUAUUUAUGUUUAUAUGUGAAAAAUAUUUAUUAUGAUUAAUAAUACUAUAUAAUAAUAUGCAUAAUGCAAAUUUUCAUUAUCGAAUCAUUUUUAAAUUUAUUUAAUAACUAUAAUAUCAUUACACUUUGUAUAAAUUGAAAAUUUAUAUUUUUAAAUUCAUAAUUUUAUUGAGUAAUUGAUGUGAAUUAUUAUAAUUUAUUUUAAACAUAUUUUGUAUUUUUUAUUUUAUUUAUUUAUUUAUUUAUUAUUUAAAUUUAUCAUUUAAUUUCGAUGUCUGUCGUGCGAUUAAACAUUCAGAUGCAGUAGGCACGAUCAAUUCGACCGCAAAAUCUCUCCAAAUUUCACAAUCUCUCAUUUCCAAAACUGAACCCGCAUAUCACACAAACACACAAACAGAGAGAGACCGGCGUUGGGAGGAACCACCAUCAGUGGCGGCGGCGGCGAGGCGGAGCACUGGACAAAGAUCUUGGUUGGGUGGGCUGGGCAUCGCGACGCCACGUCGAUGGCGACCUCCUGCCAGUUUUUGUGCGCUUGCCGCGCCGGCGGUCGGGGGAGAAGAAGGAGAUCCGAUGGGAAGAGUGUUGAGAAUAAGACACCAAAGUCCGUAAAAGCAGCAGGAAAACAAGGAUCCCUUAAAGCAGCAGGAAAACAAGGAUCCCUUAAUCAAGGGAUCCUUGUAUGACUUUGUAUCAGCAAUAUUAAAUAUCAUCUCCCAUCAAACACUAUAAAUGGGAGAAGUGUAUCAGUAGGAAAAAAUACAACAAGCAAUACAACAACAAUUAUCAAUCUUCUCUUUUCUCUGCAUUAUGAUAAAUACAUGUGUUAACAUGGUAUCAGAGCAGAUUUCGAUCUUAGGAACUCAGAAAUAUAUCAUCAUUGUUCCAACCCUUUCUCUAACCUUUUUUUCACCAAAACAGUAGCCAUAUCCUAUCUUUUUUUUCCCUUUCCUGAAACAGAAAAAAAUCAAACAAAAUGUCAGGUGAAACCCAAAUUACAGAAACCAAAAAUCCUUCAGAAGAGUUAACUCUUCAAAUUGCAAAUCUAGUUCGGAAUUCAGACAACGUCAUUCUGGGAUUCAAACUAGAUGGGAACAAUUAUCCCUUAUGGUCACGCCUUAUGAAAGUAGCCAUCGGGAGCAAGGGAAAAUCCAGCCAUAUCACUUGGCAACCACCACCACCAAACGAAUCCGAUUCUGACUACUACAGGUGGGAAGAAUCAGAUUUGUCAGUUUUCUCAUGGCUUAUACAAAACAUGGAAGGAAAAUUGGUUACCAAUUUCGCACAACACCAAACAGCGAAGGCUGUAUGGGACAGCCUAGCGGUAACUUACGGGAGUGGAGCCGAUCCGUUUCAGCUCUACGACUUAGAAGUAAAAGCCAACAAAGUAAACCAGGGACAACUUACUUUGGAGGAUUACUGGAAUGAGCUUCAAAGAAUUUGGCUCACCAUCGAUCGGAGGGAACCGAAUCCUCUCGGCUGCUGCGAGAAAGGAAUCAACAAAUAUAGGGAACUAAUCGCCAAUCGCCGAUUGUACCAGUUCCUCUCCGGAUUGGAUACCAAAUAUGAUGCAAUUAGAAGAGAUAUCCUCAAAGAAUCCCCUGUUCCCUCAGCCGAGUCGGCGUUUUCAAGGGUACGAAGGGAAGCCGCCCGGCUAUAUAUUCUACAACCGGCAACUAACUCCAUCGACACCGGUAACUCUUCAUCAUCGGGAAUUGGAACCGGCCUGGCUGCCUCUCGACUCCCUGCACCAAGCUCGAACCACCAGCCACCAGAGGACCGCCGAACCACUCCGGCAACCCGUCUUAUCGGAAAAAGAUUGACAAAACACGACUUUUUUGCACCCAUUGUGGUAUGAACAAACAUACCAAAGAAAUGUGCUUCAAACUUGUGGGCUAUCCCGAGUGGUGGGAGGACAACCACAAAGCUCCUCAAGCCAAAGGAAAGGCGGCAGUCGGCGUGGAGGUGGCGGCCGGAAUUGGGGCAGUGGCGGUGAGCGGCGUCAAGGGAGAAGAGAAGGGGAGAACCGAGAAAUGGGAGGGAGCCGGAACCACGGUUCCUCCGAUGAACGGCGAAGAGAAGGGGAGAAUGGAGAAAUGGGAGGGAGCGGCGGAAAUUUGGGGAGAAGGUAUAGGGUUUGGUGGAAUAUUUCCACUAAAUCCCUCUAACUUUGAUAAUCCUAUUUUAAAUCCCUCAAGUUCUAGUUUAUUACAGAAAGAACCCCAUUCCAUUCAAAACUCCCCACCAAUUUUCGAAAAUUCGAAAAACUCCCCACAAUUUUCUGAAAAUUGUGAAAAUGACCCUAAACACUUUAGAAAUUAUUCUAUUGCGUGUCAAACAUUGAAAAAUAAAAUUGAAAGAGAUAGAGGGUGGAUAUUUGAUUGUGGGCCACGGAUACAAUGACUUUUGACAAAACUGACUUUCUCGAGUCAUCUAAGUCAUCUNUCCAUCUAGCAUGUAGAGAUUUCUGUGUAUCUUAGCCAGAGCCAAUAUAUGAUCUGAAUUUUGCCGCUGAAUAACACAAUGUGUCUUCAAGAAAAGACACCUAACAUCAUCCUUUUUGUCAACUGUGCUACUGAGAUUAGAUUAUGUGUAAAGCUCGGUGCAUACAACACUUGUGUGAGGAUUAACUCGCUAGAUACUUGAGCCUCACCCAUAUGUGUAACUGUUUCACACUUCCAUCUAGAAGAUGAAUCUCCUGACACUUUUCCAAUCGAUGCAUAGCACUGAGCAGCUUAGAAUUACAGCAAAUAUGUGCACUAGCUCCUGAAUCAAGGAUCCAUGUAUUGUGUGAGUUUCCAGAGAGCACACUAAAAGCAUAGUGUCCCUCAAACUCUAAACCUCCUUGCACCAUAUUAACAUCACUUUUCUGUGUAGGAGUGCUGCUUGUUUGGUUCACCAUGCUCCCACGCAUUUGCUAAUUUCAGAUUGGAUCAACUUUACAAGUGAUCCAUCAUUAUCAUUAACCGACCUUCCAUGAGGCCCUGUUUCUCCUUCUGAUUUCACUUCAGCAUAGUUAGCCUUAGAUUUCCCUUUUCCUUCCUUCAAUCGUUUGUACCAAUCUGGAAAUCCAUGCAGUUUGAAACACUCACUCUCUUCAUGCCCAUGGCGUUCACAGUGUGCACAGUAAAGUUUCUGCCUCUCCUCUUUACUCAUUCUCCCUUAUACAAUUGUUGUUGUUUACCAACCUAGAGUAUCUCUUCCUUUCCCAACUCCUUGCUUUCCCACAGUCAUAGCCUGCAUCGCAUGAGCUUCUCCAAAACUUUCCACAGUUAUCUUCUGAUCCUCUAUCUGAAGUACCAUAGAAUAUGCUCUGUUUACAGUAGGUAGAGGAUCGAGAAAUAAUAUCUGACUCCGUGCGCUUUCAAAUGCAUCAUUCAACCCCAGUAAAAACUGCAUCAAACGCUGAUUCUCUUCUCUAUUGAUGCCUGCCUCACGUGUGCCACAAACACAAGACAACGGUGGUAGCAACAUAUCCAAUUCAUCCCAUAAAGCAGUAAGGUUAUUAAAAUAGACAAGGACACUCUGAUUACCUUGCAUAUAACCACUGAUUUCUCUUUGCAGCCUAUAGAUCUUAGGGCCAUUACUUCUACCAAAUCGUUGGCUUAUAGCAUCCCACAAUUUCUUCGAAUUUUCAAUAUGAACAAAGGCAUUUACCAACUCUUUAGAAAUCGAAUUUAUUAUCCAUGAAGAGACCAUAUAGUCAGCUUUAACCCACGCCUUAUAGUAUGAAGAGCUAAAAUCUGGUUCAGGUAAGGUACCAUCGAGAAUUUCCAGUUUACUCUUAGCUCCUAAAGCACGCUUGACAGAUCUACUCCAGUUAAGAAAAUUAUUACUUGUCAAUUGUGCUGCAACCAACUGCAUUCCUGGAUGAUCGGCGUUGUGGAGUUGCAAAAUCUCCUCGAUUUGCUUUGGAUCUAGAAUUUGUGGAUUGAUUCGCUCCAUACGCCGACUGCCUUCAGAUUUGUUGUGCAAUGCAUCCUUGCGAGCUAUCUCUUCAGCGUCACCAGCCUCUUCUUCAGCCAAAAUGUUCCACGGAGUAUGUCGUAUUUUGCCCAUGGAUCAGAGAUCUAGUAUGCUCUGGAUACCAUGUUGAAUGUGUGAUUCGUGAGGAAGAAGAAAACAAUUAAGCUGAGUAGAGAGUAGUAUUAUUUCAGCAGAGAAAAAGUUGCGUACAUAAAGUUGUUCACUCAGCUAUUUAUAGACAUAGCAUGAGGCAAAAACAAAGCAACCAAUCAGAAAAUAACAAGUGGCAAAAAGAGAUACAAAAGAUGCUUAUUAGAGUACAUGCAACAGCAUGUGUGCACCGAGCCACAGCAGAUAAAACUAACUCCUGCCUUUACAAUUGCACAACUUAUCAUUCGUUAGGCUUGUAAAUGGGCACAAUUUUUAGUGAAGAUUGUAAUUGCGAUAUGGAGGUGAAGGUUGGGGGGGAAAUUGCUACUUUUCCUUAAUCAAAUUUGUAAAUACUACUCCCUCCGUCCGUCAAAAUUAUGUCACAAUUACUAUAUUGGGCGUCCGCCAUAGCGGAUGAAGGGAAUAUAAUAGAUGGAUACAACUCGUCUAAAAAUAUCAUAAAAUAACAUCUAAAGCUCACAAGUAGCUAUACUUAUAUUUGUAUAUUACUAGUGGUACUACUUAUACACGCUAGCUAUUACGAAUCGACUGAAUUGUCGAAUACCUCUUGCGCAUCAUCUAAUGGGAAGCAGAAGGAUAAAUAAUUUUUUUGAUAGAAGAAAAUAUUUCAAGUUUAAUAGAACUUUUCAAAUCUUUCAGUAAUUAUUUAUACAUUGAUCUUCAAUUUUGGUAAAUUUUCAACGGCAAAUGGAAAUUGACCAACAUUCCGGCAACUUUCAUCCUAUGUGGCUUACCGCAAACCAGAAACCACGCACGACCUUAGAUCACCAAUUUUGGCUUCCAAUAAUAAGGUCAAGUUUCUAAAAGAAAGCUCAACAUUUCAAGUGUUUUUUUUUGAGGCAACAUUUCAAGUGUUUAGUUCAUAAUAACAUUAUAUUCUUCUAAAUUAUCUACAAAUCAUUCUAUUUUCCCAGUCGAUAUAUUAGUCGGAAAUAGUUAGAAAUAAAAAAAAUAUCAAACAUAUGUUAUCAAUUCCGUUGUCGUCCAGCGGUUAGGAUAUCUGGCUUUCACCCAGGAGACCCGGGUUCGAUUCCCGGCAACGGAAAUUUUUUUAUGCCUUCGCUUUUAAUAAUUUAUACAUUGUUUCUCUUAAAUCAUUUUUUCAAACUUGAUGAAAAAGCGAAGCACGAUUAAUUAAAUAGAAAACGAAAUCGAGCUGAAGAACGUGAAAUCUACAUGGACGGAAAGUAGUGAGGUCGGCUCUCCAGUAUCAAAAAUGGCGGAAUUAUCACUUUAUUAUGAUCUCUAUCUCCUUUUCCCUAUUUUCUCCCUUAACCUCAACUCUUCUUGUAACUCACAUACAAAGAAGAUAAGAUAAAACAACUAUAUAUCUGAAGAUCUAAUAACCACUCAUUCUAACGGAAAAACUUGAGCAACGUGAAAAUAACCAUGUAAUCAACUCUUUCUAUUCGCCUGGUCCAUGAAGUUUCUACAAAUAACGCAUAUUUAUGCAGAUACCCUCAACAAAACCAAUUCUUAGGAUUUCAGAGUUCAGUAUUUCCAUAAAUUACUGUUCAAUUUUCACAACAAGACAAGUCUAGUUGAUGAAUACGGAACUUUUAAGCUUGGAACUAAUCGCGUCUUCUCCUAAAACCAGUAGUCCUAGAAUUUAGUCUUCUUGAGUUAGUUUCAUUUCAGCUUUGUUGUUUGAUGAUAAUUCAAGUGGUUUUCCACAUGUCUCUAGGUUUUUCUUUUUUUUAUGUUUUCACAUUUACUCUACAAACUGAAGCUUAAUAAAACUUGGUCAAACAAAUUUGCCAACGCACGUGACACCAAGUAGAAAAGAAUGGAAGUAGAAGAAACAAAGUUUGCCAAAACUAAUACCAAUAGAAUAUUAGCACCACAAAAUCUAAAAAAUAAACAAGAGAACAGUACGACACGCAUUUUUCCAAUUUGAAAAAGUUGCGACAAUUUGGCCAUAACAUAUUGAACUAGGAGAUAAACAGUAAAUGCCACAAACAAACUAAUCUUUCUAUGUGAUUCAAACCAACCGUUAACCUAUUGGUUGAUACAAAAAUAUCUUACGAAUUGAGCCACCCUCUCAACCAACUGAUUGGAGGAAAAAUAUCUUACAUUUGAGUUGAACUUCUUCACUCCCUCAACCAAGUGGUUGGAGGAAAAUAUCUUACAAUUGAGUUGAACUUCGCCAUCCCAAAGUGCAAGUUAUAACUUACUAGGCGAGGACGAUAAAGUAAGACACCGAUAUGCUUAAGGAAGACCAUUAAAUAUGGACAAAUCCUCAUUCGGCAAAUUGGCUCAAAGGGAGGGAAACGGAAAAGGUUCCCAAAAAUAAGAAUAUCUUAUAUUGACUUGUGACACCAAUUGCAAUCCAAUGUUCCAAUGGAAUAUUGUAUGAAAUUAGCAAAUAGGUUGCCAGGAAAGCCAAAUUCUCAAGACAGGAUAGCAAGAAAGUAAAUGUAGUACACAAUUUGCCUCCCUCUUAUAAACUAUAAUCGCACUCGCACAACAAAAUCUCUAUCAAAAAUAAUAUCCUUGACCAAGAAUUACAAAAUAAAGGAUGACACGGGACUAUGACUAUCCACUAGCAACUAUUUCAUGAAUGGCUUCACUCACAUUCACAUCGUCCGAUCUCACAGCUAAUUUCAUUGCCACCUCUUUAGUCCCAUCCAUUCCAAACGACAAACGGACAAGCACCUUCACAUUGCCUAUGUACACACCAGAUAAUAAACAUGUAUGCGAUCUUGAGUUGCUUGGGACCGCCUCGGUGCCCUGCACAAACAAAAUAAAUAACAUAAUUGGCAACUAUAAAGAUGUGGCAAAAACCAGCUCAAUUUGUUCAUAUUUAAGAACUUGUGCCCUUUGACAGGCAUAAUCCAAGGUUCAAUGGCUAAUUAUCUGAAGGAAAUAUAAGGCUGUAAGGAACGCACCUCACACGGCUGCAUGCCAAGAAGACUGAUGACUGCAUUAACAGCCUCGACAAGGCUUUCCCUGGGCCCAAGGCCAUAUUCAUCUAUGCGCUCCGUAUCAGGGUCCAUGCUUUCCCAUGCAUUUCUAAAGUUAGAGACGCCCACUUUUAGAAUGUAAUCAGCAGCAACAACCUCGAAAUCUUCAAGCUGGUAUUCAUCUUCCACACCAUCAUCUUCAGCCUCUCCAGUAGAGGUAUCAACCUAAACAAGUUUAUGGAGGCAAUAAUCACAUAAACAACAAGUGUACCACGGCUUUUGGAUCCAAGAAAAAAAUAUUCAUAUGAAUGACAAAAUAUAGAUUUUGCUGAGUCUAAGUUACAUGAUCGUGCAUGUGGCAUCUUCAAAGGCAGCCAAACCAAUGAAGGAAGAUAUACCUCUUUAACAGUGAACCUCAAUGUGUUAGAAAAUUUCCCAACCGCAGGAAUGCCUUCAGGUUUCUCAAAGGCCACAAAUGUUUGGGCUGGUGUAUCAUAAGGAAGAGAUUUUAAAGGUUUGACUCCUACUUCAGAGAAUUCCUCAGCUUCAGAAGCAUCCACAAUAACAGUCACCUAGCCGCAGGAGCAGAACGAUUUAAGUAAUGGAAACACAAUGAACGUCAAUGGGACAAAAAACUUGCAACAAUAUGGUCUGUACAUUUUCAAGUAGCUGCUCUGGUAUUGUAUUUGUGCAAUUGUACUGAAAUACCACAUGGUGGUCAAAUAUGUGCUUGACAACAUUAACUGCAUACUCCGUUUCUGCUUCUGUAAGCUCCACUGGCACUGAUGACUGAUCACGAACAUCGAACAUGAAAACUCAUUGGAUACUAUACACAACGAAAGUUAUUGGUAUGAAUCAGUUCAGAUAGUUAUCCACCAACCUUGAAAAGCUUUCCAAAAUUUGCAAAUUCAGGAAUAGAGGAGAGAAGCCUUUCAUAAGCAUCAGAUGCAGAAGUGGGUGCAGGAGGUGGAGCACCCAAAGCAGUUGGUUUCUUUCCUGGGGCUUUCUUCUCGACAAGAGGCUGAGACUUUACCUCUCUGGGUACAGAAUUGAUAUCAAAAGGCUCUUCUGUAGGAUUCUGUGCCUGUUCCAAAACAAAAGAAGUGCAAUGUCUAAUAUAACACAAGCCUCAAGUAAUUAUUGCAAAUCUAGCUUGACAUUAAGUGCAAUGUCUAAUAUAACACAAGCCUCAAGUAAGCACUGAUAUGUAUAAUACAUUAAUGCUUACAUAGUUUCUUAAAGUAGUCUCCAUAUUUGCUAGUGGUAUAUCAAGUGAUCCAAACAAAAAUUCCUUUACAUCUUUGUCAGUUUCAGCAACUGAACCAUCACCAAGACUGUUCAAAUACAGAGUAGCUCUAUCUCGGACCUGCACAUAGAAUGGCAUAUCUUAAUCACAAAGAGAAGCCAUAAUAUACUCAAUAUACAUCCAAACAAUAAGCACUUGCAGCAUCUGAGCAUGAUAUGGAAGGAUAAUCACUAGGUUCGGCUUUCAAUUAUAAGUUUCAAUCAUUUCCCAGCAGACUAGGGGCAAAAUAGAUCUUACAAUCCUCACAUAACAUGAAAGAUUAGUCAUUCCAAUUCCCAACUCCCAAGCAAACAAAAUGAAGUAUCAUAACACCAGAUUUCAAAAGAAUUUCCAACUUUACAUUCAUAAACAGGAAUAGUGGAACAAGUAUUUGUGAGACACGUCUCAUCUCCUUGGUAAGCAACUAAGCAUCAAAUUCAGACUUUCAGCAUGGGUGAUCUACUUGAAGGUUUCAAUGUAAUCACUAUUCUGCCUUGUGUAUUGUCCAUAAGUGGCAGGGCUUUCAACAUUACAAGACCAGAAAUCCUCAAUCACAUCAUUUCUAUAGGUGUUUAAACUUUAUUUAUGCUGUGUGGUAAUGAGAAAACUAAUUGAAAACUAAAUUAAAAUCAUCAUAAGUUAGUGCAAAAUUCACUGGAGCAUAACACUGACCUCAUCAUCAUUGUCGAACAGGCAACGCCUCAAUAGGAUAAAUAUGCGAGGCUGCAGCAAAGAUCAUAAUAUUUUUAAGUUAGGAAAUGGUCAUUGUUAAACAUAAUUUUAACAGAGCAGGUGUAGCAUUACCUUCAGGGAAUCAACCAGGGCACCAAAUUUUGCAAGUGUGCUGACGCACUGGCUCGCACAGUAGCAUUCUCAAGUAUUACUCGAUUGUAAAUAUAGCGGAUAUAUUUGCUAGGAUCUGAUGUCUUGGGUCCCUCAUUUCCAAGAAAGUGGAGUAUCUGGAAAACAAAACAAAGCAACAAAACUAAGCCCAAAACAAAAGCCAAAUGUGCUAGCAACAACGGCAGUGCUCUAGAAAGAAGGAAUUCUAGAUAGAUAGAAAGCAACCUGGGUAGAAAGAUAUGUAAAUUCACAAUCUUCAAUAAAUUCACACAAGUGCAGCAGUCCACUUUCUUUCGCAUCUGGAAUAUCUCUAAUUAAGAUCACAAUUGAAUCAACAAUUGCCUUCUUGUACUCAAACCCACCCUCUUCUCUCAAUAUAUUGCUUAAGAAAUUCAUCCUACAAGAAGCCACAUUAUUAGACAUUAAUAUUUAGAUAUGAAGAAUACAGCACCAUCAAAUUAUUCGAAUACAAAAGGCACUUGAUGUUUAGUUUUAGGCACACUCCACUUACAGGGAUCUGUACUUGAGUGGAAACUUCAAACACAGUGACCUUAUAGCUUCUACCACAACAAUCUUGAAUUCAUCGGCAAUAUCAGACAUGAAAUUUGUGAUCUGUUUCAUCAAGCGAUCAACACUAGAUUCAUUGCCAGUUUUCAGCAGUGUGGUAAUGGCAAGAGUAGCUAUGCUUCUAUUCUGGUCUGAAAUCAAGCUUUCCAUGUCUAUAUUACAGUUCGUGACAGCCAUUGGAUGUGUCAUGGCCACCUGCAUGCAAUUUAAGUUUGAAAUUCAUGAAAUAGUAAGUGCUAGCUUUAUAUAUAUCACUAUAAAAAGGGGGUGCUCAACGGAAUCAUAGAAAAAAGGACCAUGGAAUUUAAAUAUUAUCAUCCUACAAGCAAUAAGUACUGCUCUAACACUCAAGAUAAGAUACAAGAGCAGAAUCAUCUUGGGUGUGGACUCCACAUGAAGCAUCUCCUUUCACAAAAAGAAUGCAAUAUUGUCAUGCUAAACAUGAAUAUUACACAUCACGAGGCAAAAAAUGAAGACAUAAUUGACCAUUUAAAACUGUGGUCUUGCAAAUGGCACCAGUAUAGCUAACAAGGAUAAGGGUGGAGAACCUGUUGAGUCAAGCUUCAAGUAGUUUCAGCUGAGCUUUAUAAAAUAUAAAUACAAAGAAAUUUCCAUGCUAGGACUAUUCAGUCUGCAACACAAAUGUGUGGAAACUUUUGUGAAACCCAAACCAUUCUCUGCUCGAGCAGGUUUCAUAAAUAGCAUUCCAUUUGGAAAUAAGAGACCAUCAUGCUGAAGAACGUGAGCACACUAAUACAUGAAAUAAGAGAGAAAUAAUUAAACACAAUUCAGAUGAAUCUCCUACUAUAGGACCAGUACCAUUUGAUUCCUCAACAAUGUUACAUUAGGCUACCAAUGCUGAAUGAAAUUAAUGAUGUGAAGUCAGCAAAAUAUCUUUUCUUAUGUAAGACCAACUGAGAGAGUGAUGCCUUGAUCACAUAAAUGAUGUCACUAUUAUGGUCAAUGGUUUAGUUGUCCAUGUCCAAAUAACAUUAAAAAGCACCAACCUUAUUUAAUGUCCGAACAGCAGCAAACCUUAGCACAGGCUUCGAAGAACUUAAGAAAAGUUGUAAAACAGUUAUGGCGGGAGUCAAUUCCCUGGUUGUGACAUUGCUCAACUCAGUGAUUGCUUUGGCUGCUUCAAAGAUAACCAUUUCAGCUUUAUGACGGAGACAGCUCUCAAGAUAGUCAUAAAAUGGGCGGUCUCCAGUCUGAGAAUUAAACCAGUCUCUCGGAUAACCUAUGAGCUCAAUGAACAACUGCACAAUCAAUACUUGAACAAAAUUAAAACAAAAAGUGUUUCUUUGCAACUCUACGUUGGUAAGAAUAACACCUGACUAGUGUAGCGAAUCAAGAGGCACUGAGCCAAAGGAGAGCGAACAGUUCCCUUUGUCAAGCUUGUAACCAACUUGCUAACAGCCAACCGAUCAUUUUGUCGUAUCUGCAAGUUCAGAAAUAUGAUGUGUGAUCAAAUAAAAGAGGCCAAGCCCUUUUCAGGUGAAGCAAUACACACAAAACAUCAAAGUAAGCCAAGUUGUACUUGUACACAGUCAACGAAACUUCAAACUCCAUAUUUUCCAAACAGGAUAAUUGCAGAAACAUUAAGCAAGUCAAUUGCCAUUUUUUGAAAGUACAAUCUUAAAGAGGCUUAAGGAACAUAAAUAAUAAUUUGGCUUAUACAGAGCAAGAAGUAUAUGAGUUUAAUAAUGCAACCAAGAGGAGCAUGGUUUAUUCCAUCUGAUGAAAAUGUAUCUGCUUGCCAAGACUUCUUUUGGAAGAUCUGUUUUUAGAUAGAAGAUACAUCCAAGUUGUGUUCAGAGAGUAAGUUAGGCCACCUAUAAAAUGAUCAGAACUGAAGGAUUCAACACACAACUUAUUUGACAUCAGGUACCUAGAAGAAGACCCUUUUAGAAACUAAUACUAGUUCUUAAUUGAACUCUCCAUGACUAGAAAUCUAACUUGCAGAGUUCGGGGUAAUAUUCAUGCAUUUUUCACAAAUUAAGAUAAGAUAGAUCCAGGUUAGCAGUGAAGGAAAGUUCGUAAAUCCCAAUGAACAUUAAACUUCUUACCUGGUGCAGCAGAGCAAGGGCAUGAAAUUGUACAAGUGCAGCGCGCGAUUGAACAGCUUCUUGUACUUCAUUACUCCAUCUCUUGACUAUCUCCGGAGUUGUCUGUGACUAUAUUCAUAAGUACACUAACCACGGAAAGUAAGUAACUGGUGCAAUUCUCACAGAUCCAAUUAUUACCUGCAGCAGAUGAAUACCACUCACAAGGGCGGCACUUGCAACAACUGGAUUUUUAUCCACAAUAGCCUGCUUUAAGUAUCUCUCGAUUUGUGUCAAAAGUGUUCCAUCAGUGAUUCGACAAAGGACGCGGAUUGCAUUUGCUCGGUACAUAUCAGUGCGACUAUUCAUGUCUUUCAUUAAGGAGCUUGUUACAAUAAUAACCUUUAAUGCCGGAAAACAAAUAGUUUAGACUGGUAACUUCAAAAGCAUAGAACUAUUUAUGGAAGCGAAUGUAACAUCAGUAUGAAACACAUCUUCAAGGUACCUCAUCAGCAGAGGGAGAAAGAUCCUUUAUGAUUAGAUAUACCAUCCUUCUCAAACCAUUAUCUCUAGACUGAAACAGUUUUGUGACAGCAAAAAAUACUUCUGUGGCCUCGACCUAGAAAUUAUAGAAAAGAAACUGAAGAACAGUUUAAUAUAAUUAAAAAAAAAUAAUCACUUCAAAUCAAUGUUACUGAAGUGCCAAACUGCUUGAAACCUACAUUUAUCCUCUAAUAUGAUCUGAUUACUAUGUACAGUUAAGUUAAAUGUGUGUCAGGAGGACAGAGGUCUAUGUAUGUACAGUGUGUGCAUGCAUGAGAGAGAGAUCAAGAGUCUGUAACAGCUGCAGAGCUCGACCUUUGUGAAUGAGUCGCCCUGAUUAAGAAGAUACAAAAGCUUCGUGAUGACCUAGCAAGGAGAAAAUCAAAAAUCCAGAUUAGAAAAAUAGAAUAGAAUCAAAGAAAAGAAAAAUUAUUGAAUUCAAAUUGCAAGAACUGAUUACCUGUGAGCAUCGCCUAGCAUCUAACUGAGGGUCAUUGAAAACCCUAGCUUCCUGUAAUACCGCACCCUUCUCAAUCCCCAGAAAUGGCGAGUAAUCAGCUGCAAUAAGCAUUAUUGUAUUAGUUACUUCAGACCCAAAAGAAUGAUAUAUCUAUCUCAUGAAUGCACCACAAGAAUCACGCCACGGACUAUCCAUGCAGAUGCUGAUGAAUGACUCGGGGGAUGCUCGGUAUGAGGGUUUUGGAAUGAAACCCAAGGUAGUUAAUUCAUGCAGGGGAUCCAUGCCCCUAGAGGCCUACACCCACUUCCAUUUCCAAAAUAUAGGAAACAAGAUCCAUUCCCUACAACUAUCAAACCCAUAGGCAUACCUAUUCACAUUCCCUAUAAUACCAUGUAUCCCCUCGGUGUACUUGAACCUUGAAUGGACCCACUCAUCCCAAGCUAACAAAGAGGCCUAUCAAUCACUAUCCAAUACACUAAAAUAUUGCAAAUUAAAAAAUUUCUUUUCACGCAGACAGUAGUAGAAGAUUAUAAUGAUAAUAACCAUUGGGCUACCCCAGCCUCCAAAUGGAAGCAGGGCACAGGUAAUCAUAAGAAUCAAAAUGGUAUACCCCAGCCUCUAUGAUCCACAUCAUCAUGCUUGUCUUAUUGUCUAGUAUUAAUUCAAUGACUCCGAGAAUGCAGAAGAAACUGCAGAUCUAAAGCUUAAUUAAGUUCCGCAAAACAAUAUGCAAAUCGGAAUUGCAAUAAUAAACUGUUAAACUUAACGCCACUAAAUACAAAAUUCAAGCAUAUUCGUAAAAUUCUAACAGUGGUGAAUCAAAUAAACUACAUCGUUUGCAAAUUUUAAGAUAGAAUCAGGUUUCAUUGUGUGAUGGAUCAAGUGUAUAAGAUUAUCUAGAAUUCAAAUUCAUCACAAAUCAUACACUCCUGUAAUCCAGAAUUCGAACAGAUCUCAGAUCUGAAUCGAAUUUUAACUAGGAGAAGACGAUUGUAAAAUUGCCCUAAAAGAAACCCGAAAUGUAAAUUAGGAAGUAUGAAAAAAUGAAUCGGGAGUGUUAAAUUAAACUCGAAUCAGAAGAAAAGCAAGUAAUCAGAUAAUGGAGUUCCAGGAAUGCACCUUCUUCAUCGCGAUCAUCAUCUUUCUUGACAAGCGGUUGAGCCAUUGUGCAGAGAUCUGCGUAGGAGAACUAGAAAAACAAACUAAUAAGGUUAAUUGUUGCCUGUGCCUGAAUAUAAGUGUACAAGACGGAGAAUUAGCAAAUCUGCCAACGUCAGUUUCUAUUUAUUUGUGUAGAAUGGAGUGUAGAUCUCUCUCCCUCUCUCUGGGUUCCCAGAUGCAGCUUGACGAACAACCGAAGAUUUACUUGAGUGAUGUUAAUAAGGUUAGUGAGGGGUCAAUGGUGCGAUUGCGAAGGGUAAAUUCGGUAUUCCGUGUUUAAAGUGCACAUUUUUUUUUGCGUUGUUCCAAUUUAUAAAAUUUUCAAAAUAACAGAGGUAAAUAUUAUUUUAAAUCUUAAACUAUAUUCAUUUUAUUAGAAAUAUUUUGAAUUAUAUAAAAAAUACUCUGUUAAUUUAAACAUUAAUUAUUAACUUUGUGUCAAAAAUAUCCCGCAUUUAUAUUUCAACCCUUGAAAUUUCGACGUUACUUGUCGAAUGCUACUAUGUACAAUAAUUUUUAUUUUUUAAAUAACAUGGUACAAAUCGAAUGUCACUUGAAACCCCCGACUAUCAACUGUUGUAAAUAAAAUAUCUAGCGUCCAUUUUCUGGCCUCCAAAAUAUUGAUAUUUCUUAUCGGAUGCUAUUGUAUUAUUUUUAUUUUUAUUUUUAAAUACAUGACACAAAAUGAAUCUCAAACUAAUCUAAGUAGUCUACUUCUAAGACCAAAAUACCCUUCAGAAAGCCAUAACCAUAGACCUCAACGAAUUCGGACAAGUUCUCAAAUUGAUCGUCGUACUCACCAGAGCACCCGAUGUUUGAGAUGAAAUAAGACACAAAUGUUUGUGGAAAUGGAGCAGAGAAACCCCACGACCGUUGGUGAACAACUGAGCCACCAAACAUAAACCAUUGUUGUCUUAUGAUUUAUGUUGGUCCCGAGGCGAGUAUGUUCUGGUGUAUGAGAGGAAUACACCAUAUAUCAAAUUUUGCUCAUUUUCUGAUAGUAUUGAACAAUUUAGCUAGUAAUGAGCCAGCUAGAGAAAGACGUGUCAACUUGUUGAAAGCUACCUUACUAAUAAUUCAAGUACGCCUACUAACAAUAGGUGGACAGACAAUGAGGUUUCUGUUCAAACACGAAUACAGAAUUUGGUAGCUAGCAAAACUCACUUUAAUGAAAAUAUUUAAUGCGUGCACAAUAUCAGCGACUUGAAUCAAACUAAUAAAGUUUAGAAAUCAGUAUGUGCAAGUGAGUUUGUGUGAUGCAUAAGGUCAGCUUGCUGAAAGCUUUGACAGAUAGAGCAAAACUGAACCAAAAUAGAGAUUGUAAAAACAUAAUCAUUUUUCUUCUGUAGUUGUCUUGUUGGUUUGUGGACGGUUGAUAUAAUAAGGUAAGAACAUUUUCAAUAAAAUAAAAAGAGAAAACAUAAAGUACAACACACAAACAUUUUAACGUGAUUUAGAACAACUACUCCUAUGUCCACGACCCUGACAAACAUGGGAAUCCCUUAACCUUGAGUUUCUUGUUUUGUAGCUGCAAGUCAGCUUGACUAGUCAUAUCACCUUAGACUGAUCACACGGUUACGCGACCGUGACUGUUGCUUAGGCGAUUUCCCGAUUGCAAUUUCGUUACUUAGUAAUUUUUACUGUUGCAAUUUCGUCCUUUGCAAUUUACACAGUUGCAAUUAGGGAUGGCAGUGGAUCCUAGACCCGGUCCAGAUCCGUGGAUCCAGAUCCGAUUUUACGGAUCUGGAUCUCAAUUUUUUGGAUCCGCGGAUCUGGAUCCGGAUCUGGAUCUCAUUUUCUAAAACGGAUCUGGAUCUGGAUCUUGACAUUUGAGAUCCGGAUCCGACCCAGAUCCGACCAGUGGAUCCGAUUUAAUUUAAAAUAUAUUAUUUAUUUUUUAUAUUUAUUUUAUUAAUAAUAUUAGAUAUAUUAAAAAUUAAAAAUAAUAAAAAAAGGAUAACUUUGAAAACCUAAUUUCUAAGUCAUUUCUCUCUCCCCUCUCGGUUCUUCACCUUCUCACUCCUGCGCCGCCUGACCUCCAUCGCUCACUCACUCCCAUCUCCUUCUCGGCUCAGUCACACCGCCUCACCUCCAUCGCCGGUCGCCUCCUCCACUUCGCUAGCCAGCCCGCCGCCGGAGAAAUCGGGAACAGCAGCAGCAGUGCAGCACACUCCAGUUCGUGCGACUCCAGCCGCUUCACUCCCAUCGUCGGUCUCCUUCUCCAAUUCGUCCGCCCGCCGCCGACGAAGGCAGGAACAGCAGCAGCACACUCCAGUUCGGCCGCCUCUCCAGUUCGGCUCGCAGCACGCUCCAGUACGCUCGCUCCAGCAGCAGCACGCUCCAGUUCGGCUCGCCGCCAGACUCCACCACCGCGGCGCCGCCAUCGUUCAGCCACGAGCUUGUCUACCACAGGAUGCUCUGAAUCAAAGGUUAGAUUUUGAUUUUGGGCAUGUUUAUGACUGAAAUUUUGAAUCUGAUUUGAAUUGAUUUAUAUUCGAAAUUUAUGAAUGUUUGUCUUAGGUUAUUAGGUUCUGAUUUGGAUUGUGAAUUUCUGAAUUAGGUUCUGUAUUUGUUAUGAAGUUAUGAAGUUAGAUUUGUGAUUUUACAAUGGUUCUGCAUUUGUUAGAAUUGGAGCAGGAAAUUAAUCUUUUGAAGAUGAUGUUAUGAAGUUAGAUUGUGAAGUUAUUAGGUUCUGCAUUUGUUAGAUUAUGAACUUAUUAGGAAAUUGGAGCAGGAAAUUAAUCUUUUGGAGCAGCAAGAAAUGAUGUUAUAUUUGUUUUGUUUGUGUAGGAGAGUGAAAAUAAGUUGAAUGAAGAAGAGUUUGUUGAACAACUUGUGAAUGUGAUUGUACUUGAAGAUGAUUCCACCAAGGCUAAAGUCAUUGGAACCGCGGAACUUGAUUUUCAUGACGGAUAUUAAAUGUUGUUGAUUUUGUACAAUAUUUUUCAUGAUGGAUAUUAAAUAUUGUUGAUUUUGUGAAUUUAUUUGUGAAUUUAAUUUGAAAACAGUAGAUCCAUGGAUCUGGACCCGCGGAUCCGCGGAUCUGACGGAUCUGGAUCUGGAUCCAAAAUUUUUAGAUCCGCGGAUCUGGAUCCGGUAUAUGCAAACGGAUCUGGAUCUGGUAUUGGUCAGACCCGGUCCAGAUCCGGCCCGUUGCCAUCCCUAGUUGCAAUAUUGUACUUAGCCAUUUACGUAGUUGCAAUACUGUAGGCAGCAAUUUGCGCGAUUGCAAUCCCAUUACUUGGCAUAUAAUCUAAACCUCACGAUUCAUGAUAAUAUUAUUAUGAGGAAUUGAUGUGAUAAUAUUUUCCUUGGGGUAUUAUUGUGAUAACCUAUGUUUUUCACCUAAAAAGAACACAAGAUAAAUGUGGGAAGAUAAUAUUUUAUCAUCUUUCUUAUCCCUGUUUUUCUAAUGAUAAAUUUACAACCAAAGAAAAUGCACUCUAAAAAUACAUUUAUCAAUCAUUUUAUUAAAACGCAUGUCCUCUAUUUUAUCAUAUAAUUUUUAUGGAGGGAAGCAAUAUUAAUUUGAAUAAAAUAUUUGUACAUAAUAUAAAAUUAUGUAUUAAAACAAAUCAACACUACAAUCUUAACCACUCGAGUUGGGGCCAUUUGUACUUAAUUGAUUCGGUGCACAAUAAACUUUUCAAUUAGAAAAAAAAAAGAUUGAAACUUGUUUGAGUGGGUGCAAAACUGUCAUGGAAUCAGGACCAAAUAUGUUGAAAAGAAAGCUAGGACUAUAGAAGAGAAACGAGAAGAAGAAGCAAAUAAUAAAAAUCGGAUAUUGGGAAAAAAAAGAAAAAAAGAAAUUGAUUGAAAUGGAAGAAGGUUUGUGUUGUCCACUCGUAGGCUAAAUUAGAGGCUAUGGCACUCUUUAUGUUCCAUAGUCUGUUGCUAAGUUGAUAUUUGAUAACUUGUGGAGAUUAUUAUGUACCUCGUUUAAGAAAAAUUAACAUUUGCACCUUUUGCAAUUAGAGCUGUCAAAAUUAGCUUGGUGUGAUGGGCUGGUCCAAUUCAUCUAGAUUUAAGGUUGGUUGAGCUCCAUAAAAUAAAGGUCCGGAAAAAAAUCGACCUAAAAAGUUCGUUCAAACGAUUUGUUGGAUUGGCUGGGCUUGCCCGAAGUUUUUGGGCUUUUUGACCUGCUCGAUUUUUUUAUAUAUAAGAAAUAUUUGUAAGAAUAAAAAAUUAAAAAAAAUGUAAAACCAUUUUCUAUAUUUUUCAUAAACGGAAGGAACAUAUUUUUGCGAAUCAUAUAUAGUAUUUAUCGUGAAGUAAAGAAACGAUCCAUGCAUACACAUACAACUCUUAAAUGAUCAAAGAUACACAAAUUUGCAAAGUCCAUAGAUUUAGAGGGUGUUUGGCUAAGCUUAUUUAAAAGAGCUUAUAAGCUCUUGGAGCUUAUAAGAUGUAAUUUUUAAGAGCUUAUAAGUUGUCAAAGUGUUUGGAUAAUUGAGCUUAUAAGCUAGAGAGAAUGUUUUUGCUAGAGAGAGAAAAUAUUUUUUUAGAGAGAGAAAAUCGAAGAAAAAUAAACUUGAAUAAUAUAUAAUGAAAAUAAUAAAUUAUAGUUGAAAAAUAUUUGUAAAAAGAUUAAUGUUGCAUAUGAGAUUAUAAAAAAAUAAGUUGGAGUAGAGAAACUUAUUUUUUGGGAGCUUAUAAGUUCUUGGAGCUUAUAAACUGUUUAGAAGCUUAUUUUGCCAAACACUUUGAAGGAGCUUAUAAGCUCAUAAACAGCUUAUGAACUGUUUUGAGGAGCUUAUAAGCUCAGCCAAACACCCUCUUAAUCACCCAACUUGCAUUCAUUAAGAAAAGUUGGCUGCAAUACAACUGACAAUCCCUAAUGAAUCUCCAUCCUACCAAUUCCUAAGUAAAAAAAUCAACAAAUAAUUAAAAUAUGCAUCCAAUUCUUCUAAAAAAAACUCUAAAACGAACAACUCCUGUAAAAAGCCAAAACUUUAGAAACUAGAAAACUAGUGCUAUUCGCAGUUUCCGACUACCUUAUUAUUAGCAUGGAAAAUUAAUUUUUUUUUUUUUAUUUGAUUUGAUUUACAAAGGAAUCAGGGGCCGAGGUGGAAUCCCGUGUUGGGUCGUCUCAUUUCGUUGGAACUCGACUGAGAAUAGUCGCUGACGUCGCUACCGGUGGUGAAGCUUUGAUUAGACAUCCCGGCGGCCGACUUUUGAAGUCUUUGCAAGUCGUAUUCGGAGUUGCUCGCCGACAAUGAUCCCUGCGCCUUCAUCACUUCCUGCAGAUCGUCUAACGACACAUCGCCUUCCAGAGCCCGAACAACCUAAAUUUGUUCAUUUUUAAGUUUUCUUCACACUUGAAAAAAACAGGAAAGGAAUUGAAGAAGAACCUGGCUCAUUUUAGGACGUCUUCUUGCAGAUUGUCUAAUGCAGGCGGCGGCGGCGGUUACCAUACGAAGCGCUUCUCCAUGCUCAUAGCGGCCUUCUAGCCGUGGAUCCAUCAGCUCUACGUAGCUUCCUCCUUCUCCCACCACGUUCAUCAAAAUUGGCCGAGCCUGCAAUUGUGUCAUCAUAUAUUACUCCUAUAUUAGUUUAACGCAAAAGAAGAAGAAGAUGAACAAGUUGGUUUAAUUACCCAAUCAACUAGAGUGUCAUCAUCAUCAUCCCUAGUGAUGUCGACAGGGCGUCGUCCAGUUAUAAGUUCUAGAAGCACGAUCCCGAACGAGUACACGUCGGAUUUGUCCGUGAGCUUCCCGCUCGAAGCAUACUCAGGCGCCAAGUACCUGUAUUAGAUGCCAAUUCAUUCAAUUAUCUAAUUACCUUCUUAUAUAUAGUAAUGGUGUCCAUCUUUUUUUUAUCAUAAUUUGUUGCUACUACUUUGAAAUUUAAGCUACUGGGACUAUGAGUGGGAGAAAUUAGUUAAAUUUCGUACCCAAACGUGCCCAUUAUACGGGUUGAAACAUGAGUAUUGUUGUCCGACGAAAGCUUGGCUAAUCCAAAAUCAGCCACCUGCGUCACAUAUAUGAAAAUAUUUGAUAUAACAACAAAUUAAAUAGGAUCAGACUACAAACUCAUUUUAAAAUAUGAAUCAUAAAUUAUGAAAAAUAUGAUGGAUUCGUCAUGAAAAGUGAUAAAUGAAAAAUAAAUCGCCAUCAAUGGGAUUCUAACCAGGAGCACCAAUAAAACGAUAAAUCCAAAAGUAGAUCAUGAUUUCUAAUUUAUAUUUGAAAAUGAAUUUUCAUUUUUGAAUCCCUCGACAAUAUAUAUAAUUUCUGUUGCAUUCUAAAAAAAUGGUAAUUAUAUACAUAGAUAUCCAGUGGCAUACCUUGGCUUCAAAAUUGUUAUCAAGCAAAAUGUUUGCAGCUUUAAUAUCUCUAUGGAUAAUGCGAGGAUGACCUGCUCGUUUAAUUUGCAUAAUCAAUUAUAUAUGAGGACUAUAGCACAUGUAAUGUAAUGUAAUAUAGAGAAUUAAUGUAUUAGAACAUACAAUCUUCGUGAAGGUAAGCAAAGCCUUUGGCAGCACCCAAAGCAAUUCUGAGCCUAGUCGAAAACUCCAUAGACUGGCGGUUUGUUCCUGAAAGGCAUAUAUAUGCAGGAGAUGGAGUGAGAUGAGAAAUAAUAUAAUUAAAGAGAAAUUAGAUGAUGAUGAUGCGGCAUAUAUAGCAUUAAUUACCAUGUAGGUGAUCCUCGAGAGUGGAGUUGGGGACAUACUCAUAAACCAACAUCCGCUGGGAUCCUGCGAUGCAGUAGCCAACCAAGGACACCAAAUGGCGGUGAUGCACGCGGCUGAUGAUAUCCACCUCCGCUUGGAACUCGCGCUCCCCCUGCCCGCUGUUGGACUUCAAGCUCUUCACCGCCACUUCCUUCCCGUUCGGCAGAACCCCCUUGUGCACGUACCCGAACCCCCCCUGCCCCAGGAGGUUCGCCUGCGCGAAACCCCCUGUCGCCGCCGCCAGGUCGUUGUACGAGAAUGUGCUCUGGUUGUACCCGCUCCACAUCAUCGCCGGAUGCGGCGCGGCAGCGGCGGCCCCGAGAAUCCGCCCGAACUCUGCGCGCUCAGCAUCGGCGGAGGCGGGGGCGGGCCGGCAUCCAUUGCUCCGAGCUCACCCCGGAGGUCGCCGGCACCGGGUAUUUCAUGUUGCCGUCCAUGGUCCUGUACCCCGGUUGUUCUGCCAAUUUCCUGCCUAUGCGACGUGUUGUUGUAGUAGUUUCCGCUGUAUAUAUAAUACCUGAAAUUAAUUAUGAGGAAAUUACACUUCAACUUCUCAACUGUAUAUGAUCAAAGGCUUGAGAUAUUGGGAUGGCAAAUUAAUUAAAAAUGACAUGGACCAAAAUGAUACUAUGCAUAUAUUAUUGAUUGAUGAUGUUUUUGUGAAAGCGUAAAAAGUUUAAGAUUAGAAUUGGAAUUUAAGUGAUAAUAAAGGUAACGUACGUACCUGAAUUAUGAGGCUUUUCUUGAUAAUAAUUUUUACUAUCAUCGCGAUUCUUGCGUUUCUUCUUUCUACAACAACAUAUGCAGCAGAUGAUAAAAAAGAGGAUUACCAUUCCUACCCCUACCGCCGACCCUAUAAUGGCGUGCUCACGAUCUUUAUUACUCGGCGGCGGCCACGGAAAUGAGAUCGAUUCUGCUAGAGCUUGCGGAGGGCCGCCGCUCCAGUCUUCAUCUAAUUCGCUAGGCGACAGCAGCUGCGGCGGCGGCGGCCCUCGAGGCUUGGUGUUGUUGCUGGGUGGGGGACUUUUUCUCAACGGCGGAGGAGGCGAACUCCAAUUGGGUGGAGGCGGGGAUGACGCGGUGGGUGGUGGAGGGGGUGAGGACGACGCCGGUGGUGGCGGCGAUGAUGCGGUGGGUGGUGGAGGGGGCGAGGAUGAGAUCGGCGGCGGAGGAGAAGGCGCCGACAACGGCGCCGAUGACGUUUCCUGUAGUAUACGCAUGNGCAGGGGCAACAGGUAAUCAUAAGAAUACAAAAUGGUACUACCCCAGCCUCUAUGAUCCACAUCAUCAUGCUUGUCUUAUUGUCUAGUAUUAAUUCAAUGACUCCGAGAAUGCAGAAGAAACUGCAGAUCUAAAGCUUAAUUAAGGUUCCGCAAAACAAUAUGCAAAUCGGAAUUGCAAUAAUAAACUGUUAAACUUAACGCCACUAAAUACAAAAUUCAAGCAUAUUCGUAAAAUUCUAACAGUGGUGAAUCAAAUAAACUACAUCGUUUGCAAAUUUUAAGAUAGAAUCAGGUUUCAUUGUGUGAUGGAUCAAGUGUAUAAGAUUAUCUAGAAUUCAAAUUCAUCACAAAUCAUACACUCCUGUAAUCCAGAAUUCGAACAGAUCUCAGAUCUGAAUCGAAUUUUAACUAGGAGAAGACGAUUGUAAAAUUGCCCUAAAAGAAACCCGAAAUGUAAAUUAGGAAGUAUGAAAAAAAUGAAUCGGGAGUGUUAAAUUAAACUCGAAUCAGAAGAAAAGCAAGUAAUCAGAUAAUGGAGUUCCAGGAAUGCACCUUCUUCAUCGCGAUCAUCAUCUUUCUUGACAAGCGGUUGAGCCAUUGUGCAGAGAUCUGCGUAGGAGAACUGAAAACAAACUAAUAAGGUUAAUUGUUGCCUGUGCCUGAAUAUAAGUGUACAAGAGGAGAAUUAGCAAAUCUGCCAACGCAGUUUCUAUUUAUUUGUGUAGAAUGGAGUGUAGAUCUCUCUCCCUCUCUCUGGGUUCCCAGAUGCAGCUUGACGAACAACCGAAGAUUUACUUGAGUGAUGUUAAUAAGGUUAGUGAGGGGUCAAUGGUGCGAUUGCGAAGGGUAAAUUCGGUAUUCCGUGUUUAAAGUGCACAUUUUUUUUGCGUUGUUCCAAUUUAUAAAAUUUUCAAAAUAACAGAGGUAAAUAUUAUUUUAAAUCUUAAACUAUAUUCAUUUUAUUAGAAAUAUUUUGAAUUAUAUAAAAAAUACUCUGUUAAUUUAAACAUUGAAUUAUUAACUUUGUGUCAAAAAUAUCCCGCAUUUAUAUUUCAACCCUUGAAAUUUCGACAUGACUUGUCGAAUGCUACUAUGUACAAUAAUUUUUAUUUUUUAAAUAACAUGGUACGAAUCGAAUGUCACUUGAAACCCCUCGACUAUCAACUGUUGUAAAUAAAAUAUAUAGCGUCCAUUUUCUGGCCUCCAAAAUAUUGAUAUUUCUUAUCGGAUGCUAUUGUAUUAUUUUUAUUUUAAAUACAUGACACAAAAUGAAUCUCAAACUAAUCUAAGUAGUCUACUUCUAAGACCAAAAUACCCUUCAGAAAGCCAUAACCAUAGACCUCAACGAAUUCGGACAAGUUCUCAAAUUGAUCGUCGUAACCUCACCAGAGCACCCGAUGUUUGAGAUGAAAGAAGACACAAAUGUUUGUGGAAAUGGAGCAGAGAAACCCCACGACCGUUGGUGAACAACUGAGCCACCAAACAUAAACCAUUGUUGUCUUAUGAUUUAUGUUGGUCCCGAGGCGAGUAUGUUCUGGUGUAUGAGAGGAAUACACCAUAUAUCAAAUUUUGCUCAUUUUCUGAUAGUAUUGAACAAUUUAGCUAGUAAUGAGCCAGCUAGAGAAAGACGUGUCAACUUGUUGAAAGCUACCUUACUAAUAAUUCAAGUACGCCUACUAACAAUAGGUGGACAGACAAUGAGGUUUCUGUUCAAACACGAAUACAGAAUUUGGUAGCUAGCAAAACUCACUUUAAUGAAAAUAUUUAAUGCGUGCACAAUAUCAGCGACUUGAAUCAAACUAAUAAAGUUUAGAAAUCAGUAUGUGCAAGUGCAGUUUGUGUGAUGCAUAAGGUCAGCUUGCUGAAAGCUUUGACAGAUAGAGCAAAACUGAACCAAAAUAGAGAUUGUAAAAACAUAAUCAUUUUUCUUCUGUAGUUGUCUUGUUGGUUUGUGGACGGUUGAUAUAAUAAGGUAAGAACAUUUUCAAUAAAAUAAAAAGAGAAAACAUAAAGUACAACACACAAACAUUUUAACGUGAUUUAGAACAACUACUCCUAUGUCCACGACCCUGACAAACAUGGGAAUCCCUUAACCUUGAGUUUCUUGUUUUGUAGCUGCAAGUCAGCUUGACUAGUCAUAUCACCUUAGACUGAUCACACGGUUACGCGACCGUGACUGUUGCUUAGGCGGUUUCCCGAUUGCAAUUUCGUUACUUAGUAAUUUUUACUGUUGCAAUUUCGUCCUUUGCAAUUUACACAGUUGCAAUAUUGUACUUAGCCAUUUACGUAGUUGCAAUACUGUAGGCAGCAAUUUGCGCGAUUGCAAUCCCAUUACUUGGCAUAUAAUCUAAACCUCACGAUUCAUGAUAAUAUUAUUAUGGGGAAUUGAUGUGAUAAUAUUUUCCUUGGGGUAUUAUUGUGAUAACCUAUGUUUUUCACCUAAAAAGAACACAAGAUAAAUGUGGGAAGAUAAUAUUUUAUCAUAUUUCUUAUCCCUGUUUUUCUAAUGAUACAACCAAAGAAAAUGCACUCUAAAAAUAAUUUAUCAAUCAUUUUAUUAAAACCAUGUCCUCUAUUUUAUCAUAUAAUUUUUAUGGAGGGAAGAAUAUUAAUUUGAAUAAAAUAUUUGUACAUAAUAUAAAAUUAUGUAUUAAAACAAAUCAACACUACAAUCUUAACCACUCGAGUUGGGGCCAUUUGUACUUAAUUGAUUCGGUGCACAAUAAACUUUUCAAUUAGAAAAAAAAAAGAUUGAAACUUGUUUGAGUGGGUGCAAAACUGUCAUGGAAUCAGGACCAAAUAUGUUGAAAAGAAAGCUAGGACUAUAGAAGAGAAACGAGAAGAAGAAGCAAAUAAUAAAAAUCGGAUAUUGGGAAAAAAAAGAAAAAAAGAAACUGAUUGAAAUGGAAGAAGGUUUGUGUUGUCCACUCGUAGGCUAAAUUAGGGCUAUGGCACUCUUUAUGUUCCAUAGUCUGUUGCUAAGUUGAUAUUUGAUAACUUGUGGAGAUUAUUAUGUACCUCGUUUAAGAAAAAUUAACAUUUGCACCUUUUGCAAUUAGAGCUGUCAAAAUUAGCUUGGUGUGAUGGGCUGGUCCAAUUCAUCUAGAUUUAAGUUGGUUGAGCUCCAAAAAUAAAGGUCCGGAAAAAAAUCGACCUAAAAAGUUCGUUCAAACGAUUUGUUGGAUUGGCUGGGCUUGCCCGAAGUUUUUGGGCUUUUUGACUGCUCAUUUUUUUAUAAUAAGAAAUAUUUGUAAGAAUAAAAAAUUAAAAAAAAUGUAAAACCAUUUUCUAUAUUUUUCAUAAACGGAAGGAACAUAUUUUUGCGAAUCAUAUAUAGUAUUUAUCGUGAAGUAAAGAAACGAUCCAUGCAUACACAUACAACUCUUAAAUGAUCAAAGAUACACAAAUUUGCAAAGUCCAUAGAUUUAGAGGGUGUUUGGCUAAGCUUAUUUAAAAGAGCUUAUAAGAUGUUUCAAGAGCUUAUAAGAUGUAAUUUUUAAGAGCUUAUAAGUUGUCAAAGUGUUUGGAUAAUUGAGCUUAUAAGCUAGAGAGAGAAAAUAUUUUUUUAGAGAGAGAAAAUCGAAGAAAAAUAACUUGAAUAAUAUAUAAUGAAAAUAAUAAAUUAUAGUUGAAAAAUAUUUGUAAAAAGAUUGUUGCAUAUGAGAUUAUAAAAAAAUAAGUUGGGGUAGAGGAACUUAUUUUUUGGGGAGCUUAUAAGUUCUUGGAGCUUAUUUUUGGAGCUUAUAAGCUGUUUAGGAGCUUAUUUUGCCAAACACUUUGAAGGAGCUUAUAAGCUCCUAAACAACUUAUAAACUGUUUUGAGGAGGUUAUAAGCUCAGCUAAACACCCUCUUAAUCACCCAACUUGCAUUCAUUAAGAAACAUUCAUUAAGAAAAGUUGGCUGCAAUACAACUGACAAUCCCUAAUGAAUCUCCAUCCUACCAAUUCCUAAUUAAAAAAAUCAACAAAUAAUUAAAAUAUGCAUCCAAUUCUUCUAAAAAAAAACUCUAAAACGAACAACUCCUGUAAAAAGCCAAAACUUUCGAAACUAGAAAACUAGUGCUAUUCGCAGUUUCCGACUACCUUAUUAUUAGCAUGGAAAAUUAAUUUUUGUUUUUUUUUUAAUUUUGAUUUGAUUUACAAAGGAAUCAGGGGCCGAGGUGGAAUCCCGUGUUGGGUCGUCUCAUUUCGUUGGAACUGGACUGAGAAUAGUCGCUGACGUCGCUACCGGUGGUGAAGCUUUGAUUAGACAUCCCGGCGGCCGACUUUUGAAGUCUUUGCAAGUCGUAUUCGGAGUUGCUCGCCGACAAUGAUCCCUGCGCCUUCAUCACUUCCUGCAGAUCGUCUAACGACACAUCGCCUUCCAGAGCCCGAACAACCUAAAUUUGUUCAUUUUUAAGUUUUCUUCACACUUGAAAAAAACAAGGAAAGGAAUUGAAUAAGAACCUGGCUCAUUUUAGGACGUCUUCUUGCAGAUUGUCUAAUGCAGGCGGCGGCGGCGGUUACCAUACGAAGCGCUUCUCCAUGCUCAUAGCGGCCUUCUAGCCGUGGAUCCAUCAGCUCUACGUAGCUUCCUCCUUCUCCCACCACGUUCAUCAAAAUUGGCCGAGCCUGCAAUUGUGUCAUCAUGUAUUACUAUAUUAGUUUAACGCAAAAGAAGAAGAAGAUGAACAAGUUGGUUUAAUUACCCAAUCAACUAGAGUGUCAUCAUCAUCAUCCCUAGUGAUGUCGACAGGGCGUCGUCCAGUUAUAAGUUCUAGAAGCACGAUCCCGAACGAGUACACGUCGGAUUUGUCCGUGAGCUUCCCGCUCGAAGCAUACUCAGGCGCCAAGUACCUGUAUUAGAUGCCAAUUCAUUCAAUUAUCUAAUUACCUUCUUAUAUAUAGUAAUAGUGUCCAUCUUUUUUUUAUCAUAAUUUGUUGCUACUUUGAAAUUUAAGCUACUGAGACUAUGAGUGGGAGAAAUUAGUUAAAUUUCGUACCCAAACGUGCCCAUUAUACGGGUUGAAACAUGAGUAUUGUUGUCCGACGAAAGCUUGGCUAAUCCAAAAUCAGCCACCUGCGUCACAUAUAUGAAAAUAUUUGAUAUAACAACAAAUUAAAUAGGAUCAGACUACAAACUCAUUUUAAAAUAUGAAUCAUAAAUUAUGAAAAAUAUGAUGGAUUCGUCAUGAAAAGUGAUAAAUGAAAAAUAAAUCGCCAUCAAUGGGCCGGGAUUCUAACCAGGAGCACAAUUUCAUACAAUAAAACGAUAAAUCCAAAAGUAGAUCAUGAUUUCUAAUUUAUAUUUGAAAAUGAAUUUUCAUUUUUGAAUCCCUCGACAAUAUAAUAUAUAUAAUUUCUGUUGCAUUCUAAAAAAAUGGUAAUUAUAUAAUAGAUAUCCAGUGGCAUACCUUGGCUUCAAAAUUGUUAUCAAGCAAAAUAUUUGCAGCUUUAAUAUCUCUAUGGAUAAUGCGAGGAUGACCUGCUCGUUUAAUUUGCAUAAUUAAUUAUAUAUGAGGACUAUAGCACAUGUAAUGUAAUGUAAUAUAGAGAAUUAAUGUAUUAGAACAUACAAUCUUCGUGAAGGUAAGCAAAGCCUUUGGCAGCACCCAAAGCAAUUCUGAGCCUAGUCGAAAACUCCAUAGACUGGCGGUUUGUUCCUGAAAGGCAUAUAUAUGCAGGAGAUGGAGUGAGAUGAGAAAUAAUAUAAUUAAAGAGAAAUUAGAUGAUGAUGAUGCGGCAUAUAUAUAUAUAGCAUUAAUUACCAUGUAGGUGAUCCUCGAGAGUGGAGUUGGGGACAUACUCAUAAACCAACAUCCGCUGGGAUCCUGCGAUGCAGUAGCCAACCAAGGACACCAAAUGGCGGUGAUGCACGCGGCUGAUGAUAUCCACCUCCGCUUGGAACUCGCGCUCCCCCUGCCCGCUGUUGGACUUCAAGCUCUUCACCGCCACUUCCUUCCCGUUCGGCAGAACCCCCUUGUGCACGUACCCGAACCCCCCCUGCCCCAGGAGGUUCGCCUGCGCGAAACCCCCUGUCGCCGCCGCCAGGUCGUUGUACGAGAAUGUGCUCUGGUUGUACCCGCUCCACAUCAUCGCCGGAUGCGGCGGCGGCAGCGGCGGCCCCGAGAAUCCGCCCGAACUCUGCGCGCUCAGCAUCGGCGGAGGCGGGGGCGGGGCCGGCAUCCAUUGCUCCGAGCUCACCCCGGAGGUCGCCGGCACCGGGUAUUUCAUGUUGCCGUCCAUGGUCCUGUACCCCGCGUUGUUCUGCCAAUUUCUCUGCCUAUGCGACGUGUUGUUGUAGUAGUUUCCGCCUGUAUAUAUAAUACCUGAAAUUAAUUAUGAGGAAAUUACACUUCAACUUCUCAACUGUAUAUGAUCAAAGGCUUGAGAUAUUGGGAUGGCAAUUAAUUAAAAAUGACAUGGACCAAAAUGAUACUAUGCAUAUAUUAUUGAUUGAUGAUGUUUUUGUGAAAGCGUAAAAAGUUUAAGAUUAGAAUUGGAAUUUAAGUGAUAAUAAAGGUAACGUACGUACCUGAAUUAUGAGGCUUUUCUUGAUAAUAAUUUUUACUAUCAUCGCGAUUCUUGCGUUUCUUCUUUCUACAACAACAUAUGCAGCAGAUGAUAAAAAAGAGGAUUACCAUUCCUACCCCUACCGCCGACCCUAUAAUGGCGUGCUCACGAUCUUUAUUACUCGGCGGCGGCCACGGAAAUGAGAUCGAUUCUGCUAGAGCUUGCGGAGGGCCGCCGCUCCAGUCUUCAUCUAAUUCGCUAGGCGACAGCAGCUGCGGCGGCGGCGGCCCUCGAGGCUUGGUGUUGUUGCUGGGUGGGGGACUUUUUCUCAACGGCGGAGGAGGCGAACUCCAAUUGGGUGGAGGCGGGGAUGACGCGGUGGGUGGUGGAGGGGGUGAGGACGACGCCGGUGGUGGCGGCGAUGAUGCGGUGGGUGGUGGAGGGGGCGAGGAUGAGAUCGGCGGCGGAGGAGAAGGCGCCGACAACGGCGCCGAUGACGUUUCCUGUAGUAUACGCAUGAGAUUACCCCGCUUCCGUGCAAUAACCUAAUUAAGAGUUACGUUAUUAAUCUUAUGUCAAACAUAAUAGUAUUGAACAUGAAAUCUUUAAAAUUUUAAGAUAAUUAAUGACAUUAAUUCAUGGAAUUGGAAGUGAAGCCACACAAGUGGAGAGGCGGAGAGAGUGAAGAGAGAGAAGGGAAGGGAAGAAAAUGAAUAGUAUACCUAGAGAUGAUUCUCUAAAGAUGCUGCUUUCAACGAAGAAAACUAGUAAACUAUGACCCUCUUCCAUAAGUCUCCUACAACAAUGGAAAUCAACUGUCGUUUUCUAUUUUUAGGUCUUUUUGUUACAUGAUCCGAAUAAGUUGUCGUCUAAAGUAUUUCAAUUUCGCUUACAAAUUAUUCACUACACGUCAUGCUUAUACUACAAUAUAAGUAUACAACUUAAAUAUAGCAGUAAAUUGAGGAUCUCAUUCUAUUUGUAAACCUAUUAUUUGGCCUUAGCUAUCCAAAAAUAAUAGAGAACAUUAUUCUUAGACAAGAUAUAUUUUACAUCUUAAUUAUCGUAAAUAAUUGCAUUUUUUAUAUAUAAAAAAGAAAAAAGAAGUAUGUGGAAAUAAAUUCAAUUUGAAAGGUAAAAUUAGAAUCCAAAAAAAUUACAUGAUUCACUAGCUACCAUAUUGAAAACGUUGGCACACUUCAAACAAAUAAUAUAUUACCUCCAUCCCCAAAUAAUUUUCUAAAAGGAGACGACACAAAUUUUAAGGAAAUGUUGUUAAGUGUAUUGGUAGUGAAGAAAAAGUGUAUAAUUAGUAUUGAAAAUGGUAAAAAGGUGUUAUAUUAGUAUUGAGAAUUGUGAAAUGUUGAAAAAUAAGAAUAAAUAAAGUAUUAUUAGUGGCGGGGUAAUAUUCCAAAAUGGAUAAAAAGUUAUUUGGGGGACAUCACAAAAAGAAAAUAUAGAAAAUUAUUUGGGGGACGGAAGGAGUAGUUAUUUUAUAAAGAAAAUUACAAAACGAUUUCAGUAUAAAAAGGAUUAUGUGAACUUUCUUUAAAAUAAUACUAAUGUAUCUAUAUAUCGGUUGUAUUAAUUAUUAUAAAUCUAUAAAUAUUAAAAGUUGAAUUUUAAUAUUAUUAUAUUUUAAAUAUAUAAUCCAUGUGCAUCGCACAUGCGGUAUACUAUAUAUAUAUAAAAAUAUGUAAAUAAAUUCAAUUAGAAGGAUAUAAUUGAAAAUUCACAAUUGAAAUAUCUAAUAAAUAGAUACUCAACUAGUUUAUACCAACAUGCAUGUAGUAUAAAUAAUCAAACUAAAUUCACGUUUUUUUUUUCAAAAAAGAAAAAGGAAAAAAAAUGAAUUCACUUAUCCAACCAACAAUUAAGGCAUGAUAACUUAGGAUUGUUUUAGGGUUAAUGCCAUGUAAAACCAUGACUUUUGGGCAUAUUCUGAUUUUAACCUCUGACAAAAAAUUAUACUUGUAAAACCACAAACUUUGAGUACAUUCUGAUUUUAACCUUUAUCAAAAGAUUCAGCCUGUAAAAUCGCAAACUUUUAAUUAUUUUUUAUUUUAACUAUGAGAACAGUAUACGACCACAUACAUAAAUUUAACUAGAGUACAUUCUGCAUGAUUGUAAUUAGGGUAUAUUUAAUUUAUUUAUUUUUUUAAGUAUGAAACAACAUCAUUUAACACUACAAAAAUACGUGGGAUUGUCGGCCGAAAUUACCGGCGGCGACACGUAAUAACUGGCGGCCCUUCGACGGCGGAAGAGCUGACCCGUUUUUUUAAAAAACAUGGGCGCAAGUACCGACGGCACCAAAGCCGUCGGUGAUCACCAGGGGCAUUACCGCCGGUAUUAAAGGUUGCCGCCGCUAAAUAUGUUUUAUUAUUAUUUUUUUUAAUAAUACCGGCGGCUCAUGAUUGGCGGCGGGAGUCGACGCCGCCGGUAAAUGCGAUGCGGGUCGGCCAUUACUGGCGGCCCAUGCCGCCGCUAAUUUAAAGGCCCAAAUACGGGCAUGCUGCUAGGGCAGCAACACACCCGCCGUCCCCCCCUUCUCUCUCAAGCUCCAGCCCCCUCUCGCCGCUCGCCGCCGCCGUCGUCGCCAUCCGCCGCCGUCCAGGUAAGCUCCCUUCUUCCUUUGUGUCUUUCUCUCUCUGACCCUCUCUCUCUCUCAUUUCAGCCCCGCCACCGCUAUCGCCACCACCACCGCUCCGCCGUCGACCACUACUGUACGCUCUCAUUCUCGCCAUUUUAUUUAUUUAUUCAUUUACUAUUAUUUUGUUAGAUUAAAAUAAUAUUAAUUAGAUUAAUUUUAUUUAAUUUAUAGUAUGUUUAGUUGUGAAGUAUGAUUAAUUUUAUGUUUACUUAUGAAUUAAUAAAUAAAUAUUUUUUUCGAUAGAAAAAUAAGGACGGAAACGAGACCGAUCUGUAAUUAACAACAUCUCUUGGAUAUCAUCUCGACAUAUUCUAAGGUUAUGAAUAUAUGAUAUUAUAUAUUGAAAUAGACUUUAAAUGAAUUAAUAGGUACUAGAUAUAUCAAUAAUACGAGUGUUCUGUACUGGUGACCACUCGAAAGGAACUUCAAGGUUAAGCGUGCUUGACUUAGAGCACAACUAAGAUGGGUGACCGACUGGAAAGUUCGUCUAACGUAUGCAAUACUGUAUGAAUACGAAAAUACUUGUGGGUAUAAAUAAAUAAAUAAAAACAAAUUACCGGCGGCAGGUUGCCUCCGCUAAUCACCGGCGGCCAAAAAACGCCGAUCAGGUGAGCGGCGCGCCACCGCUGUCCGGUCAAGGUUACCGACGGCGACUUUGCCGCCGCUAAUCACCGGCAACUGGCGAGUGGCACCACCGCCGUCCGGUCAAUAUUACCGGCGGCGGUGGCACCGCCGCUAAUCACCAGAGGCCCAUGCCGUCGGUAAAAGUCCGGCAUAGCUCCGCCGAUCGAUGGUGACAUUCAAUGGCGGCGUCACCGCCGUUAGUUACCGGCGGCGGCCAUUUGCUGGCCGCCGCCGGUAUAUGAAUCACCGACGAGGAAAUUACAGGCGACAACCCGCCGCCGGUGAUCUCAAUACCGACGACCGCCCUAUGUUUAUCGACGGCAAACGCCACCGAUAAUCUCAAUUUUUUUUGUAGUGUAACAUUUAUUAAUCACAUCAACUAGUUAUAAGCCACGUAAGAUUAAAUUCCACGUACGUGAUCAGAUACUAUUCACGUAGUUAAAGUCGGAAACAUUUGAAAGUUCGUGAUUUUACAGCCAGAAUCUUUUGUUAGAGGUUAAAGUGAGAAUAUGCCCAAAGUUCAUGGUUUUACAUGCAGAAUAUUUAUUUAGAGGUUAAAACCAGAAUAUGCCCAAAGUUUUUUAUGAGCCAUUACUAAUCCAUUGUUUUAUUUGCAUAGAUCAUUUAUUUUCUUUUUACAUUUAAAUGCGUUCUAAGUAAAAUACGCAAUAUGUAUAUCAAAUAACAGUGUAUAAAAAGAGGUUGAAUUUAAAAUGAAUAUGUUAUAAUAAUUUAAUUUUUGAGCAUAUUACUUGAAUGAAAUAACUUUUUGAAUUUGAAUGUAGUUAUAAAUGUCACAUAUUUUAAAAAUACUAUCAUAUUAUAAUAAUAAUAAUAAUUGUUAUCUUAAUUACUAGUAUAUAUAUAAACAGAAGAAUGAAUAAUUUAUUUUAAAAUAGGAUUAAUAUUCUAAAAUAGCUAUUAAUGUAUUAUUACUACUACUUAAAAAUGCAAGUUCUCAAGAAGAAAUCAAAUUAUUUUGUUACUUAUGGACUAUUUAGUUUUAGUUUAUUAUGUUUUCUCUUUAUUGUGCAUUUUUUUUCUAUUUUUGUAUAAUUUUCUUGGGAUAAAAUAUGCAAUAUUUAAUUAUGUAUAUAUCUUUAAAAAAAAGAUCAUGAAUAACCUUUAAUUUGAUAUAUGAAAGGUAUAAUUCAAUUUAAAUGAGCAAAUUAUGAAAAUUUAAAAUUUGUGUGUAUAUAUAUAUAUAUAUAUAUAUAUUUCACUUUUUAGUUUUUUUUUAAAGAAAAAAUUAAUUUUCUCAAAAUUUGAGAUUACUGACAUGCUUAAACAUCUUGAAAUCCCGAAAUUAGCUUGAUCUUCGACGUGGUGUAGAUGACAUGUGACUUCAUCAUCUUCGGCGCAUGAAUCUCGACGACUUCGUCAUCUUGAACAAAUUGAGUUUCGUCCAAGUUGAUAGGAUCAAGACCUUGAUAGUAGAAUGCAUUGGAGGCUUGAGUAAAUGAUGAGAAGCCGAUAGGGGAAGAAUUUGGUAUCGAUAGAUGACGAAUUUGGUUGGUUGAAGAGCCAAUUGUUCAAGUCACGUUCUAUUUUUUUUCAAGAGAAAGAACAAGAACGAAAUUUAAAUUGGAAGAAGAAGAAAUGAAGAAGUAUAUAUUUAAAUGUGAUGUAAAAAAUGAAUGAAAAUAAGAGGUAUUUAUAGGAUAAAUUAGAUAAAGAAAAAGGGAAAAUGUUAUUGCAGCAACAUCUAUUUAACAAAAAUAAAAUGCUAAACAAUAAAAUUCCAAAUUUAAUAUAUAUAGGGAGAGGUUCACGAAAGAACCACUAAAUAAAAGAAGAACGGAGAACUAUUUUCAGCCAUUCGAUCAUCAAGAUCUACGGUGGAUGCAUCAUCUUGUUGGAUGAAUGCAGAUCCUGGGUUCGAAUCCUGAAGGGAGCAUUUUUUUUUAAUUUUUAGUUGCUAUUAAUUUUUAACAGUCGUAAUUGCUAUUAAUUUUUACAGUUGGAUGCUAUUAGAUGGUUNUAUAUAUAUAUAUAUAAUAUAUAUAUAUAUAUAUAUAUAUGGUAGGUUAAUAUAAAAACCCCUCUUAAAGAUGAAAACUAGGAAUCAAUUUAAAGCCAUUGAUUUAAAUAAAAUAGAGGGCUGAGAUUAAACUACAGAUGCACAAUUUCGAUUGCAUAGAUGCACAGUUUCAAUUGCAUAGAUGCACAAUUUCGAUUUGCUUGAGUAUUUUGCAUUGUUGGUUUCAAUUGCAUAAAUUGCAUAUUUUUUAAGUGCACAGUAAAAUAUAAUAGAUGCACAGUUUCUUUUGUUGACUAAAUCCUAACCAUUAGAUCUAAUAUUUAAAAGGUCAAGAUUAGGUUCCUAGUUUUCAUUUUAACAGAGGUUUUUAUUAGAACAUCUUCCUCUAUAUAUAUAUAUACUAUAUAUAUAUAUAUAUAUAUAUAUAUAUCUAUUGGAGAUAGUGAAAAUUAAUAAUUGUUCGUAUAAUAUUAUUAUACUCCCUCCGUCCCUAAAAUAACUUCCUCUUUUUCCAUUUUGGGACGUCCCCCAAAUAACUUCCUCUUUCUUUUUUCCAUUUUUGGACACCUACCCCACCACUAAUAAUACUUUAUUUAUUCUUACUUUUCACUUUUCACCACUCCCAAUACUAAUUAUAACACCUUUCACAACUUUCAAUAAUAAUUAUAUCACUUUUUUUCCACUAUCAAUACACUUUACAACUUUUUAUUAAAACCCGUGCCGUCCCCAAAGAGGAAGUCAUUUCAGGGACGGAGGGAGUAAUAAAAUAUAGUUAAUUUUAACUGUUUCGAAUGAAAUUAUCUUCGCCUUUAAUAUAUUUAUUCUACAAAAAUUAUUGCUCUCUUUUUUUUCUCUCUCACCUUCGCUAUUUGUUUCUCUCUGAAAUCCUACUUUUUUCACCGCGCCACCGAGCUGCUCUCUCUCUCUCUUUGAUGUCACACGUAUGCAGUCGUCAACAUUAUCUUAUUCAGAUAUACUUCUAAUGGAGAUCUAUGAGAAUUAUGAGAUGCAAGAUGGAUUUAAAAUGAACAGAAUGAAUUUAUAUCAUCCGUUUCAAGACCUGUCAUCUCAGGUGGUCAACACGGCAAUUAAUUAGCACCAUGCACAAUAGGUGCUUGUGCCUAGAGCAUGGAUCCAUUUGCGAAAGCUCUCCAAUGGUAACCCAUUAGUUAUAGCAUAUAGUUAGGAAUCAUUGGUGAAGAUCCUUAGUGGUAUCCAUAUCAAAUCAUUGUAGAAUCGGUUCUGGCUAUAAGUUAGAUUCGCGAGAUUUGGGUUUAUGUUGUUAUUAUUCUGUAAGAUUUGUACUUGUUUUUGUAGUUGGGAUUAUUGUAAAAUAAAGAAUAUGAAUUAAAUACUCCCUCCGUCCGCCAAAAGUAUUCCACUUUGGCUGGGCACAGAGUUUAAUAAAAUGUGUGAUGAUGUUGAUGUAGUGGAGAAAUGGUCCCACCACUUUAUGAGAUGUGUGGUUGAGAUUGAAUUUGGGGUGGAUCUUUUGUAAAUAAAGAGUGUUUGUAAGGAUAAAAUAUAAAGGUGGAUAAUGGGACCAUGGCUUAAAAAGGAAAGUGGAAUACUUUUUGCGGACGCCAAAUAUAGUAAUUGUGGAAUACUUUUGGCGGACGGAGAGAGUAUUAUUUUUGAAUUUGUGUUAUUUUUAUAAAUUUGUGUUAUUCCUUAUUAUUUCACAUUUUUAUCGUGCAGGCACAUGGGACGAAUGGUACUAAUAUUUCAUUUUGCACCAUUCGUCCCAAGAUCUGUUAUUGCCUAUUGUUGGAACGAAUGGUAUGAAAUGUCAUAUUCGAACCAUUGGUCUAGUUGAUGUCGUGCAAAAUAUUGAGAUGAAUGGAACGAAAGGACAUAUAUAUUCACAUCAUUCAUGAUAAGGUCUUUCGCGCUUGUGUUGAUACGAGUAGGCCCUUUGACACUUCAUACCAUUCGUCCCAACAUUUUGUCACAAUAAAAGUAACACUUAAAAUUAGGAGAAAUGGUUCGAAUAUGCUAUUUCGCACCAUUCGUGUCAAACACUUGGCGCGACAAAGAAUGAGAUGAAUAUUCUAUAUCGCAUCAAUCGUCCCAAUAUCUUUCUCGCCAAGGGUUUGAUACGAAUGGUAUCAAUAUUUCAUUUCGUAACAUUUGUGCCAAAGUCUGUCGCACAAAGUGUUGGAAUGAAUGGUAUGAAAUGCAAAAUGGCCUACUCGUGUCAACAUUAGCGCGAAAGACCUUGAGGCUAAUUGUGUGAAAUAACAUAUUCGUACCAAACACUUGGUGUGAAAGACAUUGGGACGAAUGGUUCGAAUAUGACAUUUGUCCCACAAAAAUGGCGCAAUAAAAAAUAAUACACUUGCAGUUUGUUCUAACAAAUCCAACUAUAAUUGAUUAACAUAAUUCGAAUCAAUAUUUUCUUCAUUUUCCAAACAUACAAUUACAAAUCAUAUGAGAAAAUCAACGCAAAAUCUUAUAACUAACACAAAAUCGAACUAGAAUUCCUAAGCUAAAUCUUCAUUUUUCAUCAUUCCUUCACUUUCUUGCACUGAAGAAAGACAUCGUGCGGGGGGGUGACAAUGAUGAAUAGGAGAAGGCUAGAGAAUGUUCUUCCUCACCUCAAUCCUAUGUACUUGGCACAGAUGGAACAAAUUCAUCUCUGGUUACGCACUCUUCACGAUUGGACCACAAUUAUUUUUCGUUUCACUCGUUCCUCGCAUAUGCGAGUUACGUUCCUCGCAUAUGCGAGUUAGAUCUCCGGGUGGCUGGCACGAUCGAAUUGAUCCAUUGGCAUAAUUCGUAUCAGUCCUGACAGAUCUUUGUAUGGACAACAUGAAUGGGGCUAAUAGGCACGUUGGUCCCUUCCAUUCCUCUGUUUGAUACGACAAAUAAUGGAAUGGAUGGUACGAUUUCGUACCAUUUUAUUCCAGAUCUUCUUAGAUCUAGUUUUGCAUCUCAUGACUUUCAUAAAUCUGGAACUCCUUGAAUUGCUGGAACUCGUAAAACUCAUACUCCCUCCGUCCAUGAAAGAACUUCCUAGGAUGGAGUAACCCGGGUUUUAAGAAAAAAUAUUGUUGAGUUUAUUGAGAGUGGAUAAAAGGUAGUUGAGUGUAUUGGGAGUGGUAAAAAGGUGUUAUGAUUAAUAUUGAGAGUUGUGAAAAGUGAAAUGUAAGAUGAUUAUAAGUGGUGGGGUAUAGUCCAAAAAUAGGUAGGAAAUUCUUUUGUGGACGUCCCAAAAAUGAAAGAUAGGAAGUUCUUUCGUGGACAGAGGGAGUAUUUCACUGCAUUCUAUGAGGAGAUAAUAUUGACGGCGACAACAAAGAAAGAGAGGGAGUAGCGAAAGAGACAAAUAUUUGGAGAGAGAUACUUAAGAGUGGAGGAGGCGCGGCGACAUAACUAGGAUUUUAAAGAAAGAGAAAGAGGAAGUUCUAAAGUAAUGAGGAGAGAGAGAGAGAGAGAGAGAGAGAGAGAGAGAGAGAGAGCCGUAACUGUUCAAUCGAAUCAAAACCCGGAUUCAAUUUGGAUCGCCUGUCUGGCAACACGCACGAAGAGAUAGAGAGAGACGCCUUUUGUCGCAGAAACUUUAGAUCGGGUCAACUUCCCAGUCCGAACCCGAAACCAUGCCGUCUCGUAGAAGAGCUCUCCUCAAGGUCAUCAUCCUCGGCGAUAGCGGGUCUGUUUUUUCACUAAACUCGAUUGUUUAUCUGUGAAUUGGUCGAUGUGAGAGAAUUCUCGCCGUUUCGGAUUUGAUUGGUUUAAUUUAUUCUUCCAUACGCGAAAUCGAUGAAAUUAGGAUGAUGGAUCGAUUCAAUUCGAACUGAUUCAGAUUCAUUCACAUGAGUUUGGAUCUCGAAUUCUGUUGAAAGGAAACGAAGUAGUGAAAUUUUUGAGAAUUGAAAUUUAUUGCAUGCUAUUCCUGUUAAAAUAAUACCAAGUCGGACUCUUUACUUAAGAUGCAAUCAAUAAGAGUGAGAUGAAAUAAUUUGCAAAUAAGCAAAACGCGGGGAAAUUAUCGAGCCUGUGAGACAAAUUUGUUUAGUAGUUUUCCGCUCUAAAAUCCUAGCCAAGCAUAGGUUAUAAUGACCUACCUAUAUAUGUCUAAGUGUGUUCUUCUGUACAAAUUGGGUUGAUAGCUAAUUGGUUAAUGUAUUUGUGUAUGUUUUUUUCAGGGUGGGCAAGACCUCAUUGAUGAACCAGUAUCCUCAAUCCUACUCAUUUGUUACAAUAAUUGCUGAUGUAAAAUGUAAUUUACUGCUUCUGUUAUGAAAAACUCGUUCGUGUUAUUAUUUGUAUGAUGUGCUCUUGACUUGUUGAUUAAAGAUAUGUAAACAAGAAGUUUAGCAACCAAUACAAGGCGACAAUUGGGGCAGAUUUCUUGACAAAGGAAGUGCAGUUUGAGGAUCGGCUUUUCACUUUACAGGUACGUACGGAAGCUGCUUGUUUUAUCUUUCUAACAAUUAUCGCAUGUGAUUCAAUUCGACUGAACAAGUAAACAUAAAUUUCAAGUUUCUUAUACAUGUUCAUAACAAAGAAAUAGUUUUGCUCCUCUCUAAUAUAGCUGGUUCUGACUCAAUCUGAUGAAGAUUUGCUCUAAAAUGGAUGGGCCUUUAGAUGCUAUAACAAUUCUGUUUAUUUACACAUCACAGUUGUGAUAAUAAGUAAAGAGAGUAUAUUUUUCUUUAUUUAAAAGUUCUGAGCUUUAAAUUUGGAUUGUGAAAAAUAUACACACCUUGAUAAAGCCAUUGGAGAAUCACAUCAUACAGCUCAGUUUAGACACUGGAUAUGUAAUCAUAUUACUGAUAUUUGUAAACUGUUUGUCUUCAUACUAUCUGUUAUCUUCCUCAUUAUAAUCCCUCUUAUGCCCUAUGGUUGGGUCUGUGUAUAAUUAGAUAUGGGAUACAGCUGGCCAAGAAAGAUUUCAAAGUCUUGGGGUUGCUUUCUACCGUGGUGCCGAUUGCUGUGUGCUUGUCUAUGAUGUCAAUGUCAUGAAAUCUUUUGACAAUCUUAAUAAUUGGAGGGAAGAGUUCUUGAUUCAGGUAUUUGCAGUUCUUAUUUCGUCUGAGAAUACCCUCCUCCAGUUCGCUCGUUUUUUUCCCUUCAAAUCAAUAUAAGCUCAAGAUCCACUGAUAAUUUUUUUUAAAAUUAUAUUUGAGCAUGAAUCUUAUCACGCAUCAACCCUCAUUUCUGCAAGCAUAUUGCCUUGUGAUGGGUUUAGAUUAACAAAUAAGUAUUUUUCUGCAUUAAGUAAAUUAGAAUGCGUAUAUAUGCAGAUAAAGGGGAAGGAUUGUAGGGUAAAUUUUUCAGGAUAGGUUUCACCUUUUUAAUGUGUUCUUCAUGUUGGGGGACACAGGUGAGAAGGUGGUCUAAGUUACUGCAACUUGAAAUUCUUCAUGACAUAUUGCCAAAUGUUACUUAAGAAUUCUUACAAUACGAGUAGUUAAGUUGUAUCAAAAGCCCUGAGUUUGAUAUUUCUGAUAAAGAAAAUAAUUUUUUUAUCCUAAUGCAAUUGCACAGCUUAUAUCUAUCCUAUAAUGGAAAAAAUGGAAACAUACUAAUGAAACAGAAGUUAUUCUGCAGGCUAGCCCAACAGAUCCUGAAAAUUUCCCAUUUGUGGUGAUCGGCAACAAGACUGACGUGGAUGGUGGAAAUAGCAGAGUGGUAAACACCUGCCCCUCCUCUUUCUAUAUAUAUAUAUAUAUUGAGGUUGAGAGGCACCGUGCCAAAGGCAUUAGGACAUAUUAUAUGUGGUGGAAUGUUGUGGACCUAUGAUGAUAUCUACUACGGAGUUGGUAGGACAACAUACAACCCAAUAUAAAUCUACAUUUACACCAAUUCUAUUAAUUUCUCUGUUUGUUCUUUUCUCUACCAUGGAAAAUCAAACUUCAACAGGCUGUCUUACCUAUAAGUAUGUUAAAAGUUCUGUUCCCACUAAGAGAAGGCAAAAUUUAAAACGGUCAUUGUGGAUAACAAAACAAAAUUAUUUGGCCGCUUCAGUUGAACAUAAGGGAGGGAAGCUCAAUUGCCCCAAUUUCCUUGUUGACGGCUACUACUGGUGAUCACCCCCCUCCCCACCUUUUCCCUCUGUCAGCACCACCCCCCUCUCCUAACCCUGCCCAUUGGGCAUCUCUUCCAGCUCCCUUUCCCAGUCAGUGCCUCCCCUCCCUUCCCCAGUCCGGUGGUGCCCCUUCUGCAGCUGCCCGUUUUUUUAAUUUUUGUGCACUUUAACCACCAAAUUUAAAAAGUAGGGGUAUUUGCACUUUAACCACCAAAGUAAAGUUCUUUUGUAAUCAAAAUGGCAUUUAUAAACAAUAGCUCGUUAGUUACAUUCAUUAAACUGAUACAAACUUAAGCAUCGCGGAUGCAGUGUCCAUUUGCGUAUCAUUCCCUAUUUACCCAGUGCUUGUAUCAUGAUAAAUACUUCCAGCCUUUCUGUUGGGGCAGACUGAGGUGAUGUGCUGCACUGUUUUCAAUAUGUAAGCUGUGAAACUUUGUUUGAGAUUGACAAACAUUGUUUUACCUGCUUUGCCACAGGUAUCUGAGAAAAAGGCUCGGGCUUGGUGUGCCUCAAAAGGAAAUAUUCCUUACUUUGAGACUUCUGCUAAGGAAGGCACCAAUGUUGAAGAAGCUUUUCAGGUUAUUGCAAAGAAUGCCUUGAAAACUGGAGAAGAGGAAGAAAUGUGAGUACAAAAUCCCAUAUUAUCUCAUCAAGUUGCAUUUAUAUGUCAGCACCAUCUUCGUUAUACUUCUUCAGUUUCUCACAAUGCUGUCAUAAUGUUUUAUAGUUUUAUUAUAUAGCUGUGCAUUGUAUUAUGCUAAAAGUAGAAUUGAUAGUUGAAAUUAGUAGAAGAAUAAAUUCUUGGAAAAAAAUGCUGCCAUAUAUUUGCACCGAUCUCAUAAUUCUUGAACGACAUAUAUUCUUCUUGCUAAUAUUCUUGAUGAUGGUGAAGAUACCUUCCGGACACAAUUGAUGUUGGUAGCAGCGCCCAACAACGGUCAACUGGAUGUGAAUGUUGAUUGAGUAAUAUGAUUCAGAAGUUCCCAGGAUGCACCAAGAACUCCAUCAUUCUUAUGUUUUUCGUGUUGCACUAAGAUCAUGCGUGUAUACUAGUGUUUGUACUGUGGAGCGAAUUCGUUUUGUUAUUUUCUGAGCUUGGUUGCUUGGGCUACCUUCAAUGUGUACUGUACCGCUCUGAUUUGGUGGAGCUGGAUAGAAUUUUUCAGUGAAUUGAUUGCAGUUUCUGUGUAAACUCUUUCAUCCUUGACAUUUUUUUCAAGUUCUAUCCUCUGCUCUCCAUGUCGACUACUUGAUUUUUUCUACAGGAAAACCGAAAGGGCGUCGAUGGUGACGGUUGAACCAUAAAAACCGAAUUGAUCUGAUGAAUACAACUGUAAUUCAAUAUCGGUUGACCAUGGAUAUUGAUUCCCUAAUUAUCUAUUUUUCUUUCUAUCACUUGUCAAAAUCACUGUAUUGUAUAUAUUUGUAUUUUGUGACCAUCUGCUAAAUUAAACAUCUAGUUGAAGUUGGUAUGCGAUGAAAAUUGUAGAAAAAGAAGAAUUUACCUUUUGGAAAAGGUCCAACGUAUUAGAGAGCACCCCAUCCCCAGUUGAGAUUCCUCUGCUAACAACCUCUUACUUUUGCAUUAAGUUGAUUAUAGAGCAAAAUAAUGCUACAUAAAUGAGGUGCAAUGUUUUAAAACUAGCUAGAUUGCAACUAUAAAAACGAACAUACCCGAAGGCUUUUCAUUGAAAUACAUAAUUGAUCUCAUACACGGCUUACAUUUAUUAGAAAAGCAACAACUUAUGCACUUCAUACAUUAGAAAUAGUGAUAGGUGACAUGAGACCACAGACGACAACAUUAUAAACUUCAUACUAAUUCACUUUUCACUUUUCUGCCUUGGCUCCAAUCGUGUAGAUCGAAUCCUUGGAAUUGACAUCAUCAGUGUAUGCCGAGACAUUAGGCCUAGGCUCAAAAUCUUUAGUGUAAGAUUUCUCAUCCUUUGAAUUGACAUCAUCAGUGUAUGCCGAGACAUUAGGCCUAGGCUCAAAAUCUUUCGUAUAAGAUUUCUCAUCUGUGAGCUUAACGUCAUCGGUGUAUGCUGAGACAUUAGGUCUUGGCUCAAAAUCUUUCGUAUAAGAUUUCUCAUCUGUGACCUUAACGUCAUCGGUGUAUGCUGAGACAUUAGGUCUUGGCUCAAAAUCUUUCGUAUAUGAUUUCUCAUCUGUACGCUUAACAUCAUUAGUGUACGCUGAGACAUUAGGUCUUGGCUCAAAAUCUUUUGAAUAAGAUUUCUCAUGUGUGAGCUUAACGUUAACACUCGGUCUAUCCUCAAACUCUCUCACAAAAGCUUUAUGCUCUUUAAACUUGAGAUCAUCACUAUGAGCCAUGGUGCUAGCCCUUUGCUUAAUGUCUUUUGCAAAAGACUCCUCAUAUUUAGGUUUGACAUCGAAGAUUGAU
Molecule: long non-coding RNA, 46723 nt
Filed under: Salvia miltiorrhiza (redroot sage)
Lineage: Eukaryota; Viridiplantae; Streptophyta; Magnoliopsida; Lamiales; Lamiaceae
Description: long non-coding RNA (SMIL_LNC005020)
Rfam family: tRNA (bases 9815-9886)
Source: RNAcentral